UUUUUUUUUGUUGCCAAACUCCUAUUUUCCAUGCAAGGUCAAUUACACUACAAUGGCAUCCAAAUAAAUACCCAUUUCAACGUGCGAAUGUGAAAUGUUGGGACAAUGAGAGAAGGGAUUAACAUACUGGGUUACAAAUAAUUUGGAAAUCUUAUAUCGUUGAAACGCAACAAAUUAUGCGUAUAGGCGAGGAAAUUUUCAAUAAACCUUCAAAAGGUUAACAUGACCUAACGAGGACAUACCGUUUACACUUGAGAAAAAAAUUGGCUAUUACUUGCAAUCUUACACAUGAAAUUGAGAUUAUUUGGAUUUUUUACAGUGUGUAUAAUAUCACCUACCCUAUAUAUGUGGCAUUCUGGAGAACUAGUAUCCGUUCCAUGAAAACUCAACUGGGAAGAGAGAAAGAAGAAUUCCAUGACUAAUUUAGUUAGAUUUGAGGCUGGCAUAGGCUGCAAGAGAAAAAAAAAUAAUAACUGAAACUCAUCGUCUCAUCUAGGACAGGAUACAAGAGUUCUAGUUUCUCUGAUAAGAAUUAUUCCUACCAACACACAAUCAAGGGAUAUCUCCUGCAUAUAUGUAAACAGAAAAAGAGUAGCAGAAUACUUAGACAUAUGAACUCCCAAAAUAGAGAUAUCCAAGCUGUGCCAAAACAGCCUCAUAUUGCAACGACUUUCAAAGAGUGGAGUAGCAUAAAAAAAUGAAACUGUUGUCCACAAGGCCGUCAGAAUUCACAAAUCUACUCGCACGAACCAAUAUUGUUACAAAUAAUCAUGUGGUUAUGCAUAACCAUGUGCUAUCUUAGUAUGAAGGGGAGAACACAAGGUCCACGAUUUUUUAUUUCUCACUUAUAGCUGUAUAGGAGAAGUAUUACAUGGAAAUCAUGAGAGGAACUUAUAUAGUGUAAAUGCCUCAAAUUUAUGCAAAUAGGCGAGCAAAUUGUUAAUAAAUCCUCAGAAAAUUUGCAUAAUAUAGAAGAGGCCAUUCCUUUUACACGCUAAGCAGAAUGUAAAGAUCAAAUUAAAUCCCAUUUUACAGACCAUGAGAUAGAGAGAGAAAAAUAUGUAUAGUAAACAACGUGGAGAUCGCCUUUUUUCUAAGCAACCCCUUUUCUUAUGUCCCAAAAAGGGUUAAUUUUGAUCUUGAGGGAAAGGAUAAUUAGCAUGUGUCCACCAUAAUUUCUUGUCCUUCAGGUUUUUGCAGAGUCUUGCACUUAAUUUCCAUGAAUAUACAACAUAUUUCACAUGAUAGCAACAUGAUUAUGGUGAGGGCCCAGGCAGUGGCGGAGGACCCGGUAUGGCCUUGAUUUUUCGACAAGUACCCCAUGUAUUCUACUGUUUUGUCUGCCGGCAGCCAUCAGAGCUCUGACUCUGACAUUCUGAACAUGAGGAGAGGGCGCAGGGAGGAAGAAACAUAGUGUUGGGCCUGAUCACAGAGUCUGAAGCGUUAUACGUAAGAACUGGGCCAAUGGAUGGGCUAUUUUUUUUAACAGGCCAACGUCUCCUACUCCCAGUCCCAUCUCCCCAACAGCCUGCCUCGUUGAUUAGUAAUUCCCUGUCUUCCCAGUAACGUGCGAUCAAAGACAAAACGACGAACCCUACCACGGCGCCGGCGCACGUGUCCGGCGACGGCACGAGGCAGCGAUCGAGUCUCGAUGGGCGACGGCACACGAGCUGCCAAGAUCUCGCGUCACGGCGGCGGCGGCCGAGCGAUCGCACUGCUGAAUUACCGAGGUCUCCUAGACCUAAACCCAAUUAAGGCUUCAUUGUCACCUGGUCUGUCUCUUGACUUGCAUCUUUUUUUUUACUCUUUAGAUCAUCUCUAUCUAUAUGUUAAUUUGUAAUUUUUACGUACUUCUAAGUUUUACAGUUGACAUCGUUGCAUUUAUCAUGUAUACAGACUACUAUCGAUUAAAAUCUUACUUUUAAGGCUAGUUUGGGAGCCUAAAAUCCCGCCAGGAUCCCGACCUUUUCCCAACGCGCGUGGAAACGAGGCACGAGCCAAAUUUCGUCGCCAUUUGGAAGCGCACGCCACGGGGCUGGGCUAUCCGUUCCUCGCAUUUUCCCUGGGGUAGAUCCUCACCACCUCGAAGGUCCGCUUCCCCGUGCGGCUCCCCAAGCGACGCCGAUCCGACUCCUCGUCCAAGCGCCGCCGCCGCCGCUCCGAGCCUCCGUCUUCUCGUCUAGGCGCCACCGUCCCUCCACUUCCCAUCCAAGCGCCGCUGCCGCUCCUAGCCUCCGACUCUGUCAAUCUGCUUCCACGUCCAUACGUCGCCGUGUCCCCUCCCCGUCGUCUGCAACGCCGCCUCUACCCACGGACCUCUACCUCCUUUGCCUCCUCCGCAUCUACCAUGGCGCCUCAACCUCAUCUUCCUCCUCGACACCCACUGUGAUGUACUGAUGUGAGUUCUUCCUCCUUCCUCCUCUUAUCAGAUUGCCUAGGAUUUGCUCUUCUCAUGGCUGUAAUGUGAAUUCUUGUAGUUAACAUCUUGAUUCCCAUUUCUUCUGUCUGAGAUCCAAUCCCAGGAAUAUCAACUAACCAGCACAAGCACCAACACUGAUUCAAUUUUUUUAGUUAGAUAUAUGUGUUCAAGUCCUAGAUGAAUCAGAUAUAUACUCAUCAAAUUUUUAAGAUGAACACAAACAUUGCAGUAAGAAUGUAUAGUUAUAUGUUUCUUGCCUCUUUCAUUUUGCUUAUUGCAUUCUCCUUAUCAACCAUCCAUUUGUUUGUGCUGUCAUUCCAGUAGGUUAUCUGAAUCGGAAAAAAUAUUUACAUUGAUGCUGCACAAGUCAUCUUUGGUCUUUACACAAUCCUAGUAAUUAGUUAACUUUACUGCAACAAAAAAUGCAUUUCUUGUUUCUUAACUAAACUGAAUUUUAGUUAACUUUGACAUCUCACGAGCUACUACUGAAUAAUUUUCUGCUUAACACUAUUGGUUACUAGUAACUUAGUCAAUUGUCUAAUCGCGAUGAAUACUACCAAGGGUGGUUGUAAGUUUUUUUUAGAUCAGGGUGGUUGUAAGUUGUAACACUCGGGCUGUGUGUAUCAGACACAUGUGCAGAGGUUGGAACUAUCUUUCAUUUUGUUUUAAGGAAAAAAAAGAUAGCGGUAGUACUGAUUAAAAAGCAGCAUUUGAAAGCAAACUUACUGGAGUGUCUCUUGAAUCUUCAUAUACUGCGAUACACUGACGAUGUUAUAUAUCUUGCUCAAUGCAUCUGCUUAUAACUGUUUGCAUAUGACGGGGAAGGUGACUGUAUAAAAUACCCUGGUUAAAUCUCCCCUUGCUUCCAAAGGAAGCCUUAGUUUGGCUACUGAGAGAAGGAGCUCAGGCAAGGCACAAGAUCUCUGGAGGGUGCAUAGGGGCUUGAUGAUGGUGACUUAGGUACUCAAUCUCCAUAUGUUCUUUCAGUGAGCAAUAGUUUGUAAUGUGCCUUUUUAUUUCAGUGAGCAAUAAUCUGCCAUCUGCUAUACCUGCACUAUAGAUAAUGUUCUUUCAGUUUGCCAAGCAGCAACUACGAGUAGCUGAAACCUAGAUAUAUAAUUGUCAAUGUCACUGAUUGCCCUUUUGAUUUCCAAUGCUGCAACUAAUCUGUAGAUAGCUGCAUGUAGACAUCUGUUCUAUUUGAGUUUGCAUAAUUCUCUGAGAUGAAUAGACAACUUCAUCUUUGUCAUGCCUUAAUUUUCUGUGCUUGAAUCAUGCCACUAAUUUGAAAUAAUUACUGCUCCUGAGAUAGUUGAUUGCAAUCUGUUUCUUGCAAAUAGGGUGUAUAUGUGAAAGUAUCAUGACAAACUACUUUGAUAAAAACUUUGUUUGGACUGCUGCUAAUAUAUGAUAAAUCUCUAAUACAGUAAUUAUAUCAUGCGGUAACAGUUGAGUUAAAAACUUUGUUGCACUGCUGCUAACAUAUGCUUAAUCUCUUAUACAAUAAUUAUAUCACGCGGCAACAGUUGAGUUAAAAUCAUGGUUUUACAGCUGACUAGAUGCUUAAAAUAUGCAAAGAGCACCUGUCCAUUGGAUGAUUGCUUCCUUUUUUACGACCAUCAGUUCUUUCCAUGUCCUUGUCACAAAUGCCUUUCAGUCUUGUAUAUUGCUAGUUUGCCACACUUUCAGUUCUUUGUAUUCUGUUCGGGCAAGGCUUGUAGAAGCCGUAUGAGAUAGCUGAUAUCGGUUCAAAGCUGAAGAGUACACCGAUAUUACUAUGUAUAUACCACUAAGAUAUUGUUCGUAACUGUUGACACAGAUAUGAUGUAUGGCUGGCUUAACUCACUCUUAUCAUGGAAUUAUUUAGCUCCUGGCUGUGCUAAGUUUGCGCUGAAUGUGUAGCAUGGUAGUGGUGGUGGCUGGUUUGUGGUAUGAUCAGCAAUGGAUUAAUAAAAUAGUAUAUUCAAUUUUCAUUUAUGAUUUUUCAAUGCUGACUAUUGUUUAUUGUUUUUUCAGAAUCGAUAAACAGUGAAGUGUUGGAGAAACAUGAAUACGGGAAAGAAUGUUGGAGGGAAGGUCCUUGGCUUAUUUUACUAGCUAAUCUCUUGUACAAUAAUUAGAUUAUGCGGCCACAGUUGAGUUGAAAGCAUUGUAGCUAAUUAAGUAGAUGCUUAAAACAUCUAAAGAAUAUACGUUCAUUUAGUCCAGCUGGAUGCGAAGGUAACUUGGUGAUUGAUGUUGCUUGUUGAUCUUGUAGACAUGUUUACUGAUUUUAUUUAUGAAGUUGCUAUUUUUUAUGAUUUCCUGAUUUUUUUUUCUGAUUUUUAGGUAUUUUUGAAUAGUGGGCUAUUUUUCUGCAUGUGUACAACUGGUGUGGAUCUGCCCUGCCUCCAAACAGUGACAUCGGAAAAGGGAUGGAUCUCUGCAAGCUGGGGAGGGAUGCAUAUGCUCCAGGGAUUUCCCUGUGGAGAUGUGCUGCCCGAGGCUUGGCCCCUUGCUGCCAAAGGAAGCCUUAUCGUCUAUUCGACUUCGCCAUACCUUAAUUUUUUCCAUCCUCCGCCUCUGAUUGCCAUUGGAGGUGGCUUGCUUUCUUCAGUGGGAUGUUAAACAAAUGAGAGAUGGCGUGUGGGAACAGGAUCAGGACAGCGCCCUCGCUCGGCCUUGCAUCCUUGGCGCAGAGCUCGGACUCCAGCUGGAGAUGACCAGGGGCCAGGAGGAAGCGGGUGUAGACUCCUGCGCGCCAUGGGUGCACGCCCGAGCAGAGGGACGAGGAGUGGCCGAUGCUCACCUUGAGAAGGAGAAGGGAGUUAACGUCGUUUCAUCUCGACGUCACAGAAUGCUAGUUUUAGUUGAUGGAUCAAUCUUUCAAUGAUAUUUUACGGAACGACGAACUUUUAAUGAUAUUUUACGGAUAUUGCGAUCUUUGAUGCUACGAAACUAAUUUUCCCUUUGGUUAUUAUACUAGUAAUGCUUAUGAUUUGCAGCAUGACCACGAUUUCGCUGGAACUCAGUGUACUAGGUACGUUUGACUACAACUGUCCAACCCACUACUCUUUUCACAAGAAUUUCUUAUUUCUCUAUCUCACGCUAAACAACCCACUACUCCUUUCGCUAAAGAAUUACCCUUUGAAGAGGCAGGUUCUAUAUCUUCCUUUCUUGUAGCAACAUGUCUAGUGAAAACUUGAAGAACCUUUCGGUUUGAGCACUUAAAUUGACAUAUAUUACCCCCCAAAAAAGCAGCCUGCUGAGACUAAUCAUGCUAGAAACAAGUUGUCAGGAAGGAGAGCUUUAGGCCUGGUUCAGUUGCCCAACUUUGGGAUGACAAAAUUACUGUAGCAACACUGUAGCGUUUCGUUUGUAUUUGUGAAUUAUUGUCCAAAUAUUGACUAAUUAGGCUCAAAAGAUUCGUCUCGCAAAGUACAACAAAACUGUGCAAUUAGUUUUUGAUUUCAUCUACAUUCAGUACUCCAUACAUGUACCGGAAGUUUGAUGUGAUAGGGAAUCUUCUUUUUGCAUAGUGACAAAGUUGGAAUUUUGGAGUCAGCACGGAACUUCAUGCCGCACAACUGAUCCUAACGAUAAAUGCCCACCACCUGAGCCCAGGGGCGGAGCUAGCCGGCGGAGCCACCGGUGUCAGUUCUACUAUACACCGGUGCCAGCUUAAUGGAACAGCAGCGUGCAACAGUGAUUCUUCACUGAUUCUGCAGCAUCUCGCCGUUGUCAGCUGAUAACGACAAAUAGCCCUGGCUCCGCCCCUGGCAGGUGGUGCUUGCUUGCUUGCUGAUUCGAGGAGAGUAACAGAGAAGGAUUGAACGGAGAGAUUGCUACUGCUGCUUGGAUUGGAGGGCACCUGCUCCUCCGAACAGAACAAGCAAGCAACAUGCCUCUUUCUUGCCUGCUUCAAUUUUUCACGCGAACACUAAAUCCACCGCCGCAAUCUUCAAGUCCAUCAAAUCGAUGGGCACGAGCCACCAGAGGCUGGGCUCCACCCAAACUUGCCUCUAUGCCUGAGCAGGGUGUGGAUGAGCUCACUUCUCCACCGUCCUUCGUCCACAAGCUCUUGUCGCUGAGGACCAGCACCAAACAGUGGCUAGGCCUUCGACUUCGGGAUGGCCCCCGGGCGUCGUAGCGCUCGCUGUUUCACGGCACUGCUGAAAAAUUGAGCAUUAGUACUAACCCUUAGUACCGGUUGGGGUAUUAGUACCAGGUCUAACGGCUAGUUCCCCAGAAAUUCCUCAGUCCGUCGUAGCGCCCGAGCGAGGGUGUAAGGGCGGCGCCUAGCGCCACGACGAGGCACAGCGAGGGCCCUGGCCUGGGUUGCAGUAGGGGUGCCACUGCGACACAGCACGGGCACUGGCUUGGUGCGGAGGGAGGCAGGCGACGAUCUGGAGACAGGGGCAUGCGGCGACUUGGGGCCGAAGGGGCGAAAGGAAGAAGCAGCGGUGUAGCAGAGGGACCAGGAGCGGCGGCAUUCAGCUUGGGAAAGGAAAACGCGAAGGAGGAGACAUCUAAGACGGACAGUGUUGACGGCAGUUCCAUUAACACGUCACUGAAUGCUAUUUUAAGUUGACGGUUCAAUCUUUUUAUGAUAUUUUACAGAAUGACGAUCUUUCAGUGGUAUUUUCUGGAUACAGUAAUCUUUCAAUGCUAUGAGACCAAUUUUCCUGUAACCAAAAGAAUAGAGCAAAUAUUCAUCUUUGCCAUGCUCACGGUCGCUUCUUUCUUUCACGCGGCUGUAUCUUCACUUAUCCCUUUGGUUAGCUGGCUCUACAUAAUGCUUUUAUAGCCUUAUAUCAACCAUCCAAAGACGUGCUUCGGAUGUAGAUAGCACAAAAGAUCUUCUCAAGAUGUGGUAUCAGAGAAACCUCUUAGGGCUAGUUUGGUGGAGCUCCCACCGGCUCCAGCUCCACCUGACAUGUCACUGUUCAUGUAUUGUAGCUACACUGUUUACCGAAGCUGAUUUUCUCUCUCCUCCUCCUCCCCCUCACAAACCGGCAAGUCUCCACCGGCUCCAGCUCCUUUGACACCCUGCCACGCACAGUGCAGGAGUCGGAGCCGGAUGGAGCGGCACCAAACGAUCCCUUACAAACACUCGUUGUCAAGUGGACCCUUGGUAUGUUUCUGAGCAUGGAUUGAAAAGUUGCAAAAAAAUCUAACUACAUGUUCUAAGCUAGGCUGAGGUUUGCCAACAUCUCAUGAAAAUACUGCCUCUAUCCUUACAUACAAGGAUUUCUAGAGUUUGAAUUUUGUCCCGAUAUUAUAAGAUUUUUGAGUAUCCAAUCAAGCUGGUCAAUCAGGAGUUGGCCCGACCUUUAAUUGUGCCAACCAAAUUAAGAGAUGACCAAUUAGGAGCUGUCACACCCAUCAAUCGUGCCAAUCAGAUCCUGGUUUGACUGCUUCAAUGGGGGAAAAAGUUUUCAUACCCCUCAUAUUUAUUUAGAGAUUGAGAGAGUACCCUUUCAAACUUACAUCUGACUAACACUGUAAAGUAAUAUGUCUCGCAUAGCGUCCAUGUGAUCAGUACAACUACAAAAUCCUAGUCCUAACACUCUGAAAUGUUUGCAUUCUCGCCUUUUCUCCUUAUUUUGAUUUUGGCCCUUGCAAAGGGUAACAAAUGUGCUGCGAAAGGAAAAGGACUAGUUCAUCUGAUGGAUCUUCUUAGUAAGUUACUCUUAUAAGUUUUAAUGUUUGGUAAGUCUUAACAUGAUAACAACAAUGGAUGAAUGUACGGAAUGGUUUUUAUUUUGCAGAUUAUCUUUACGUAUCUGCAAAUUGGAGUUGUAGGAUGCUUUAUGCAAAUUUUCUUGAAUGGAUCUGUACUGUAUCUUUUGUUGAACAAAAUUGGUUAUUACUUACAAUUUUUUGUUUGAUGUUUAUUUGAUUGAAGUGUAAAACCUCCAAAAAAAAAGUUAGAAGUUAUAUAAACUCCCUCAAAACAAAGCUGCAUACGUAUGGGAGGUGAGAUCAUACAAGCAUGUGAAAUUUCAUAACCAACUCAAUUUCAUUUGUAAGACGUGAUUUUUAUUUUGUACAACAUUUCAUUAUAUUAUUAAUAGUAUGGCUUUUCUCAAUUUCAUAUCAAAUGAAAUUGAGAUGAUUUGAAAUUUUACAGUGUGUGGAGAACUUUGAUGUUCACACAGUUGUUUCAGAGGAUUUUUCACAACUCCAUCGAAGGGUGUUGUCUUCAUAAUGGUCUGUGACGGACCACUCUUCAAUAAUUUUUUUUCUCACGAGCUAUUACACAUUAACACUCGUUUGGAGAUGGUGGUAGGAACAACAAGCAAAACACUUAAGAUUUCUACAGAUUACUUGACAGUUGAGACUUUCAUCAAUGCAACACCCGGACGGGUGUAUAAACGAGUUCAAGAGAGUACUUUUCGUGGUUGUUUGGGUGAAGAGUCUAGAGAUCAGUUUAGGUAAAACUUGCUUUAUGAUGAGUUUCCUGAGAAUCAUUUUUGAUUUGUUAGUUAAGAUCAUGGUUAUAAAAAAUCACAUUUGGUAAAAAAUGGGUAUUAUCUAUUUGGUGUUUUUUUAGAAAAAGGUUGGCUCAUUCAUUCAUUGAAACAAUGUUCCAGAGUUUACAAUUUUUUGGAUACAAACAGGUAUACAUUGCCGGUAGAUUGAAUAAGCAGCAGGCUCACUUGAUUUAUCUAUUUGGUGUUCUGUUUUGAGAAAAAACAACACAGACCCCUUUACCGUAAAACUCACUAUUUCGUGUUUAUAGGAAACCGGUUAUCGCUAUCCUAGUUUUGUGGGCACCUAAACAAACAAUGCUUUUUUGUUGGUUAGAGCAACUCCAAAAACUCCUUUAAAAUUACCCCCAAAUCUUAUUUAGGGGAAAAAUAAAUAAAACUUAACUCCAACAGCUCCCCAAUCCUUCCUGUAAAAAUGCGCGGACGCUAAAAAUAUCUCUGUCGCCCCGCAUAUAUGCGGGGGUCCGGUUCUUCCCCAAUCGCUUGGCACACGCACCUGAUUCGUCCCUCUCUGUUGACAGCUCUUGCCGCGGCCUCCACGCGCUUCCUCUUGCGCUCGCCGGACGAGGUCUUCCGGUCGCGCUUGUUGGCGGCGGCGAUGCGCGCCUCCCUCGUCUCGACGCAGCGUGGCGCGUUUCCCUUGCGUCGGGGAGCGCGCACCUGGUGGUGGUGGACGAAGUGAUGGCGCCCAUCGCGAGCUCGGAUGAUGAAGCCUCCCAAGGUGGCAAGGCGAGCCUUCUUCCCGGGGUCCUCGUCGAGACGCCACCGUCGGGGAGGUCCUUGAGGUAGCCGAACUCCGCGACGGGGCCCUUGUUGAGGGCGAGCGUGGUAGGGUGGCAGCUGUGCAUCCAGAGCAUGGCGAGUUGUUCUCCGCGCACACCUUCUUCGGCGGUGCCGGCGCCAGCUUCAGUGCCCUAGCGUUCCAUCAUGUCAGGAAUGCAUCGCCGGUUGUAGGCACGGCAGCGGCCGCCUUCACCGCUGCCUCCGCGGCACGCGUAGCCAGGGCGCGGAGUCUCUCCGCUGGUGGACCGAGAAGGGUGUAGGACACGGCCUUCCAGCAUGCUGCCGUCACCAUUGGGUUGCAGCGAGGUUGAGCCCCUGUGCGAGCUGGAUGCCGUGUACAAUGAUGUGGCCUGUUUUAAAAUAUUGGGGGCUAGUUAUUAGCGAUCUAUUGUAGGUUGAUAUGUUUUUGGGGGAAAAACUUUUUGGAAGAACCCCAGUACAUAUUGGGGAAGAACUUUUUGAUAAACUCUUGGAGUUGCUUAAUGAAAACUAUUUUUUCCCCUAAAACCAAAUAUCCAAACAACCCCUUCUUGUAUAUGAAUAUAGCACCAACCACAAAAACGAGUCAAAAACAAGAGGCAUGGUAAACCCAUACUUGGUUGCAAUAGCCCCCAUGUUUAGCUUAUACACGUGCAACAACACUACAUUCUCAAAAUACCUGAAACUUAUCUAGGAUCGAACAACACAGACUCAAACUUAUAUAUCUAGGAUCGAACAACACAGACUUUAAGUUUAUCUGAUCAGAAUUCCUACCAACGUGUCAAAAGCAUUUGGUCUAAAAUCAUUUGUGAGCACCUCUGCGAUACUAUUUUAGAUAUCUUUUUCCAUUUCAUUUGAUCUAUUUUACAAACGAAGGUAUUACUAGGAGAAACUGAUUUUGGUUAAAAAGUGGAGUAAUUAGGAAGUUUCAGGAUGCAGCUAGUCAAUUACUUGCACGAUCUAAAGACAAUCAAUCGGCCCUUCGCAUAACUCUUUAAUCGUAGUGAUAUACAUGAACUUGUGAUCAAUCCGCCGUUCAUCAAACAUCAAUCAAGAUUCUCAAAGAUGUAAGCAAAGCGAAACAGACAUAUUGCAUCACAAUUUUGUGAGGUGCCCAGACAUGCACAGUUCCCAUGCUCUUCAAUUAAACUAGAACGGACUAGCACCAGGUAGGUAUGGCAUAUGAAAUCCUCUUUAUGUAUUGGAAGGAAAGGACCCCAACUCUGGAGGCCCGACCAAACUUAUGCACAGCUUACACCGUACAGGGCCAUAAACUGCACACAACACGGUUGAAUCUUGCAUGUAUACAAAACAUUGCAAUAAUCAAUAAUCAGUGGUGUAAUGAAUCACCCUUGCUCUGGUGACAACUGUAACCUGAUUAAGUGUUGAGGUUCUUGAAGAGCUCGGGCAGAUGGGCAUUCGUGAGCUUGGUCCGUUUUGUGAUCUCGCGUUGCUUCUUGGCCUUAGGCUUGGGUUUCACCCCAUCGAUCUGGGCAGCUGCUCGUCGUUUUGCAGUGUUGGUCAUGGGAUUGAAGCCGUUCUUCUGAAGCUCCUUUUCCAUGUCCACCAUGUCGCGUGGUAACUCGAUGUCCCGGAAGAGCUGUUUCAGAUCAUCAUCAACCUUGAUCUUGGCUUUAGGAUCAUUAGGGUACACAAUGUCCUCCUGAGAGUCCAUGUUUGACAACAGCCAAACUUCACCUGCUGCCUUCAGAGCCUAAAAUGCAGCAGUUACUACAGAUUACCUGCGUACUCGAAUAUAAAUAUUUAGCUAGGUUGCUUGUAGUAUGCUAAUGAAAUCACAAAUACAAGCUAAUUACAUCCACAAACUCGUCAAGACAAUGCAAUACUUACUUGGAAAGAAAAUACAUGAGCUCACAGACAAAUAAUCUACAUAUUGCAGGGUACCUUUGUGCUUAUAAAACCUGUAGAGCUAACUUGGACACAUUCUUUUAGCAUUUUUGUUAUUAACUAGUUAGGUACCUUCACAACAGUGUAUGCAUCACAGCGUGGUUAAGACAACACCUUAGCGGCUUAAAAUAUCAGACAAUGAGAAUUAGGAUCACCUGAAGAUCUUCCAUUACAGUUGGGUAUGCAUCCUUGACUUCCACUACAGCAAGACCCUCUGCGAACCUUCUUAUCAAAACAAGUACUUGAUCUUUUCCCUUAGGAUCAUGCUUGGACUGCAAUGUGACAACAGUCAAUUAACAUGUAAGACCUCAGAAAUCAGAAUAGCUAAACUGCAAAGAAGAUGACAAAAUAUUGAGACUGUUAGAGGAAACAACAACUAUUGUAACUAUAUCAGGUCUCUUUAUCGACUUUCGCUCUUCAACAGCAUUCCCGUGUAUUUAAUUCACUAAAGGAUUGGCCAUAAAUGGUUUAGUUUAUCACAGCAUGAUUUAUAACUGUCAUAGAAGAACCACCAUACGGUGUCAACUAAGAAGUAAACUGAGUUGAGACGAAUUACCUUCUACGAGAAGCGCCUCCCAUCAUAGUGUACUUUGGGGUUGUUCCUCAAGCUGUCAAAGACAGCCUUGUUACCAUGAAUAUCAACAUAAGUUGCGUCAUUUAUUUGCUCUGCAGUAAAAGCUUGUCUUGUCUGAAUAUGCAGAUGAAAAAGUAAUAUAAGUUAAUGUACUAGAUGCAGAAUUGUUUAUGUGAUACUUAUUAAUAUGAUAAUAUCCCUUGUGAAGAUGCUUGAACUUCUACAAUCAUUGCUAAAAUGCAAGUGGACCAGAACACAGAAUCCUCAGAGGACUGUUUCAAUGUUUUUAGAAUAUCUAAUUCUAUUCAGUGGAAUGGAGCAUAUACUAAUGUCAAUAAUUGAUAUGCAGCAUGCGUGCAAAUGUAUGGUACUGCUCCACACAUGACAACUCAGAAUAGCCAGUACAUCAUUUUUGUCCUCAUCGACAAUAUAUCAACACAGUGUACUACCCCAGGUUUAUCUAUCCUGGAAAUUCUGUUUAGCAUUGGGCAAACACAUAAUAAGCAGCAAAGGUACUAUUCAUGGUAAAUAGCACAUUCAAAUUACAGGCUAUAACAUACCAAGACUGAGCAUCUUACAUGCAAGGGAAGACAUACAGACGGUACCAGAAAAAAAAAGGGAGGGGCCAGUAUGUAUAUAAUACAUCAAAUCGUAUAAAUAAGGCUUCAACAAGCAGGAAACCACAAAUAUAAUCUCCACUGAGCCAGGGCAUCUAUAAACUAAGAUAGUGCAAUGACAAUUAAUUCUACAUGAACAAUUAGAGUGCUGAUUUGCUGAAUCAGGUCUUUAUGAGGCCAGAAAAGAGGGGAAACAUUCCUCUCUGAAGUUACACUUGUACUAAAAGGAAAAUGGAAGAGGGUUGUAGCUUAGUGAGUAUACCUUGUAGAGCAGUUCGAUGACAAGUUUCAUCUGUGCUCCAACAGGGGAUUUCCUAAUCGAAUUAAUGUGCUGAAGCCUUUCAGUGUCAUUUGAAAACUUAAUAGGUUGUGAUGGCCUUGCUGGAACAGAUGGAGCAUUUAUCGGUUGGGCCCUGUGCUUUGGCUUUGAGGUCAAAGCUAUGCUAGCCAAAGAUGACUGGCACCUCUCCUGCUGUUGCUUGAAUCUGGAAAGGCUAUCCUUGAGAUCCAUCUAGAAAAAGAACAUUCUUGUAAGUGAUUGGUUAAAUAAACAAAAACUUGAAUAGAAACAGCUGAACGACCGGGGAAAGAACUGUUGCAGCAGUGUACUAUGGUCUUCUGAAUGAAGCCAGCAGUGCCAAAAACUAAAUGCAACUGUAUUAUACACAGGGAAACAAUCAAGUUUAUACUUCCUAGGAAUGAGAUAAAUUCAGUCAGAAUCUGAGGCAUAGAGAGAUCAAUCGUGUCAAAUAUCAUAGCUACUGUACGAAUGAUUGUAUGAUCCAGUUCAGUAUUGUACUAUUGUACAAAGAUGACGGGCAGCUGAAAUAUCUAAAAGCUCAACCGUUUAAAUCAAAUGUAACUGUGAUUCAUUCUAUUCUCAGUCAUGAUAACUAUCAAGAACACGCAAAAUUAGUUUGCCUUAUCAGAAGCAGGUAAUGCACCCAGAAAAGGCAUUGUAUCAAGCAGGUACCAGCAAAGUUAGAAUCCAUGGCACAGUGAAUCAGUGCCUUACCCAGGUAGUUUGCCAAUCAUCAAGAUAUAAAGGCCUAUCUAGUUCAUCAGAGAGAUGAGCCCUCCAAUUCUCAUCUGAAAACGUUAAACACUUAAACUGCUCCCCAAAAGGGCCAAUCUGUUUAGUACAACGCAAAAUCAAGCCCCAACCACAGAAAUUUAGCAUUAUUAUCAGGCCAUCAAAAUGGUAAAGGUGCAAAGCCGCCUGCAUCGCAUCAAACAUCAGAUCGCACGGGCAAUGGCUCAUUCAAUUACGUGCUCAGGCCAGAUCGGAUCCAAAGGCUCCCGGCUAAACGCGCGAGCUCGUGACCCUACAGCCGCCCCCCGUCUCCUGAUCCCCGGCGAAGGGGGGGAGGGAGGAGAUCGGUGCCGGCGUCCUUCUAGGCGCUAAGGUGCCGGAGGUGGCGGUGAGCCGGCGGGGAUGAUCGGCUAGCGCGUGCGCCUGGCUGCCCUAAAUCUGAAUCGAUCGGGCCGCCCAACCCCCAACUCCCACCAGAUCGCACACGUAACCGCGAUCGAACUCACCGGAUCGCAGCCGGCGCCUCGCCCGACUCCCUCUGCUGGGGUGGGGGGCUGAAAAUGUAACGCAAUCGGUUUGCUGAUGAUAACAAAUCACAGUACGGCUGUUUGUUUCAGAUCACCUGUAAUCACACGUCCAUACAAAUCCAUUGCCUCUCCUUCCCACCGUAAUCAUACCCCACCACCCCGAUGCGAACAGCGCCGCCAAGAUCAAGCGCUGUGCCCGUGCCUGUGCCACCGUCGUCGACUCCCAUGGCUGUGCCGCUACCGCCACCGGCGGCGGCUCCCGUGGCUGCACCGCUGCCACUGCCCCGUGGUUGGCAACUGUGGUUGCAAUACCGCCACCGUCGGUUCCCAUGGCUGUGCCGCCACUACCGCCCGACGACGCAAGAUACUCCUUGUCCCAUCUCCUGUGACUUACUACUGCUCCGCUCCCAUCUCUCGUCCCCCUGUCCCAUCUCUCUCUUCUGCCAUUUCCUUGCAUAAGAUUGGGGAAUUUUCUCAGGUUGCAGAGAUUGGGCAUGAUUUGAUUUUUGGUGUUUCAAGGCUCAUCAUGUUCGUGUAUGUGUGAAUUUAUCAGAGAUUGGUUUUGUCUCUGACUAUCUGUUGAGUUCAUCUUGAAAUUGAAUCGAUGCAUCCUUUCAGACAUCUUUCUGCUGUUGGUUGUGUUCUGCUUUUUGCAAAAUGAAAGGAGACAUUUGUAUCUGAUAAUGUUACUACGGUGCAACCAAACAAAGAGAGAGUAAUAACGCAUUCUACCGUCGAUUGCACCGCACUUUGUGUUUAUGUUACCGUUGAACCAAACACAAUCUCAGUAGGAGGGCUCGUGUUUAUUUUUCCAAAUGUAGACUCUAGUGACUUAUUUAGCACACAUAAUUUGCACUGAUUCUAGAUUCGGUAGGGCGAGAGGAAGAUAAGGACAUAGAUAGACAAUUAAGGUCGAUAUUGUGUUUCAUGGAUUUUGCUUUUUAAUUUCGACAAUUAUUCUUUGGGGCUGUAAUCUAACAAUUGUUAACGGAGUACUCGCAAAUGAAAAAAGAGCAUUGUGUAUUCUAAACGUAUAAUUCACCAUUUUUUAUGCGAAAUUUGCAUUAUAUUCAACGCUCAGAAAAACUUAGUCGUUGGAGGGCAUUUAAGAGUUUCGCAUACGUUAAAUUGCAGCUGAAACUCAAAGGGGUCGCGUCUUAAGUAAGAUGUGGGAUGUGUUCAGUCGUAACCAUGAAAUUGUUUGUAUUCGAGCUUAUUCACAACAGAGGAAUUGCAACAGACAUGGUCCUGUCGAUGAUCCAGUUGUCCUACCUCUUGUUAUGUUAGGCUCGGUUCUUUGUUUAUUCAGAAAAGGAUUUUGAUACCGGGCCUAAGGCCAUUUUUGUUAUGGAUAUUUACUAUUGAUGGAAGUGAUAGCUUGCAGCACAUAUAAAAUAUUUUUGCUUCUUGGAGGACACUUCACUACUGAAUGUAGCUGGGCUGGCGACAAAAGAAAGAUGGCCAGAUUUCUGGCUGAAACAUGGAGAAGGCGGAAUAAUAGAUGGCAUUUAUGAGUAAGUACACUCUGUUUGACGUGACUCUAGCUCUAAACUUCGAGCCGGGGUUAAGCGGAGCUAAAUUUUUUGGAGGCUCAGUUCAUUUUGAUGGAGCACCUUAUGACAAUUCUAAAACCCUCAAAUAUGAAUAUAUUCGUGGAGUUCAGGAUAAUUACCCACCUUUACCACUGGUUACAUAGAUGUACCGGUUCAUUCUAUUUUCCCCUCCUCCCAAUGCCUCUCCUCCCGUUCGCCCCUAUCCUCCCAUUCGCCGCUCACCCGCCACCUCCCCACCCCGAUCGCGGCCCAAGUCGUGGCACCUCUUCCCUCCCCCGGCCACCCACUGGACGCCGGCCUAGAUCCGACCAGUGAAGGCCCCCGAUUUUCGCACAUGAAGCCAUCACCAUCUCCCCCAUCCUCGCGUGGGUAGCGCGGCAAACUGUGGAGCAGCAGCUCGGCAGCCUCCACCGGCCCCGUUCCGCGCCUCCGUUGCUCCCCAUCCCGCACGCAUGCGCGCCCCUGCCACACCGUCGGGCUCCUCCCGCGAGCACGCCCCUGCCAUGCUGCCGGCCCGCGCACCGCCACGUCUCUGUCCCGCGGGGAUGCGCCCUCCCCACGCCGUCCCACCCCUGUCAUGCACCGCGUCGGCAGCCCUUUCUCCGUGGUGGUGCGAGGAGGCCCUGUCCGACCCGAUCUCCUUGGACCUCCCGAGGAAGAAGACAUGGAUGGAGAGGAUGACACGUGGGAUCAUGAGUUAGGGGUAAAAAUGGCAAUCCUCCCUAAAAAUAUCUCUUUUCUGGAGUUGGGGAUACCAUGGUAGCCAAACACCAUGUUUAGACAACGCCAACUUCAUUUUGAGCUAGCUCCAGCUGAAGUUGCGGAGUGGAAUAGUAAAAUUUAAAGUUGGAGCCAUGCCAAACAUGUUCUACCUAUACAAAUGGGAUCUAGACAAGUUGCCGAAACACUGGGAGAAAUGGGUGGAUCAAGAUUGUAGCCUUGAGGCUGCACUGAAGUCUGGCAAAUGGUUGGACUUAUAUUCAAAGAGGCUGCUGCAAGAUGGAGAAAUCUCGCAAAAGGGGUGCGUGCAUAUUCAACGUGGAAGAUGUUGGUCAGGUGUCGUUUUGCGCGUGAAGUCGAUGCAACGUUAGCUUAUUAUAGCUUCUAAGUUUUAUCAACUGCAAGAUAUGCUAAUUUAUUUUUACAGUUUUGUAUAAGUGACCAAUGGUGAUAGUAGUGUCUCCGAUUUUUUCUGAGUCUCCGACAAUUUUUUAGUACUCGCUUUGUUCAGGUUUACAAAACGCACACAUAUCAACAAACACCACUGAGGAAAGGACCUUCAGUAUCGGUUCCUAACUCCCCUUUAAUACCGGUUGUGCAACCGGUAUUACUGGUUCGGUAUAAAAGGGGUAUUAAAAAAGAAAAAAAAGAAAUCCCACCCCGCCCGAGCCGCGCCCCGCCGGUCCGAGCCCGAGCCCGAUCCGCCCCCUCCACCCGAGCCCGCGCCCCGCCCUUGCCCGGCCCCGCCGUCCACCGCUGCUGCUCCUUGCCCGGCCCCGCCGCCCUCCGCCCGGCCCCUGCCGCCGCCGUCCUCUCGCCGCCGCUCCUUGCCCUGCCAACAUUAUUGCUCGUUGUUUAACUUUUUUUCUAUGUUUAAUUGGUUAGCUAGGUAGUCGUUCUCAACAUUUUGAGGGAUAAUAUGAAUAAGCUUUCAAACUGACACGGUCGUGCUAACAAUAUCCCCUUAACCAUUUGCAGAAUACAAGAACAAGUGAACAUAUGUAAUCCUCCAUUAGCUAUUUUUAAUUUGUUCGAAGAGUGAACAAAGGAGCAGUUUUUUAAAGGCAAGAAGGCUCUAGAAGAGUAUAUUAUGGAUUAUACAAAGACAAUGAUUCAAACGGACCGAAAGGUGAACAUUUUAGUGGAACCAUUCAAACACCUUAACGUAUCUUUGCUUGCAACUCAGCCAAAAUGCGGGCUUCUCUGCCAAAUUAAAAUUUUAGAUGUGUGCUAAACAUUGACUUUGAACCAGAGCGCAACCAAUUAUUGCAGGAAAAUUCUGGCUUGGCUCGCAUCAAGACAAACCUAACAUUAGUAUAUCAAUAUAUCCAACGAUUUCCCAAAUCCAUACCCAAACAGAAAAGGCUAAGCCCCACUUUUAUUUUAGAAAAACAAAAUUAGAAUAAAACGAUAAGAGGGACAAAGUCAGAUGGUACCUAUAGCAUGGCGCGGCUCUUGCUAGUCAUCUCUAAUCUCUCAUCUCUAGCACAAUCGGGGUUUCCUGCUUUUCCAAGCAGAACUACUAUACAUGCACUGCAUUAGAAUUUGAUGCGUCUUACCUUGUUGCUACUAGCUAGAAUCGACGUAUUCUGAGAGCACGUUACCGGACGGGAAAACGCUGACGGAGAUCAUACAUAGGGUCAGUUCCUGAUAUGUUGGAGUCCUUUGGUGCAAAACCAAAGCAAAAUGGAAGGCCUCAUCAUGCACGCUGAAGAGGUAGUCACCAAGGCUGUCGUUGUCGAAAAUGUGAAUGUCACUGGAGGCGUUACAUAGGUGACAAAAUUGUGGUGUAAAAGAUUCCAUCGUGGAUGUGGAGCUCUACCAUGGGUGCUAUGUUUGCAAAUUCGGAAGCUGCAGCGGUGAACUACAAGUGCACAAAUCUUUUAUCUAGUUUAGUCGUCUUUGCAUUAGGACUUACGAAUUGCUGAUUUUGCCCUGUUGCCUAAGAUAUGAUGUACUAUCAGAGAUUUGAAAAAGAAAAUCUCAAGUCCUAGUACACCUCCAAUGCAAUGUGAUAAUCUCUGGUGAUAACCUCCACACUGUUCCAUUCUUGGGCGGCCGUGAUAUGUUGAAAAUACAGCACGUCAGAGAAAAUGAGAUGACAAGAUAGCCCAUGGAACUAAUCCCGAACACAAGUUGUUUUCUUGCCUUCCGGAGGAACAUACAUAGAGCUGCGGGCUACUGUGGGGUUCUUUUCCCUGGGUUGAUUCAGACAAGGGUGUCGUCAGUGUCACUUUUAGCUUGGGCGUUAGCAGAGCUGAUGGCAACCUCAAUUUCAGUCUCAUCAGUUCGGCCUGCCCGGUCGUCUGCGAUUCCUGUUUGCGUGUGGAGGAAUAGAACAUUCAGGAUGGACCGGACCGGGCCACGCCACCAGACCAGAGUCGUCUUCUACUGGCAGAACAAGCAGAAGUGGUACCUCGAUCUGGCAUGGCAGUGGCAGGCCGCUCCAUGCGUUGGAUCUGCCGCUUCCGCUGCUGCUGCUGCUUCUGGCCUUCUGCCAACGGUCCCUCCGGCCUCUGCUUUAUCUCUUUUGCUUUGUAGGGUUUGUUUUCUGGUGUGCGCAGCCGAUGGAUGAGAAUAUGAGAUCCCAAGAAAGCCAAAGUGCAAAAGCUGGCAGGUUCAACACCUGUUGUACGUAUCGCUGCUGUGAAGUGUACAACACCUCGCCCGCUCGCCGGGCGUCGAUGGAAUUGCCAUUCCAGCGCGCGAGACCCUGCUCUCCCUCCCGCCUGCCUUGGAUCAAACGCCACACGGCUGCCACAAUGCCCGAAGCAUCUCUCAUGGGCUCUCUUUUGCGUCAUGCCUUUGCUCUCAUGCAUGCUACUCAUCCAUGUGUAGUCCAGGUCCUCGAUCUCUUUGUGUCAUGCCUUUGCUCUUUACCUCGUGCUUCGCUCACCGCUCCAUCUCUCUUUACCUCCAAUCCCGAGACUGUGCGCGCGCUCCGUUUUUUCCUGCGAGAUCCCGAGGAGCAUCCGCUUUCCUCUACCUAGAUCUCUCAUGUUGUUCCCGCUCCUCUCCUUCGGGAUCCCGAGGCAAGGAACGGUGGCCGGCCGGUCUCACAACUUGUUUGCUGGCCGGCACAAUCAGCUCAUGGAAGAAAAGAAAUCCUUGGUUCAGUCCAGGAUGCCACGUCCCCUGGAGCGAAAAUAAUUGAAGGGUCAGUUUCGAACCUAGGAAAGCAAAACAAAUUAAAGGAAUUAGAAAAAAAACAUAGAUGGUAAUAGAGAGGAAUUGGAAACAAGAGAAAUGUUGAAGAAACAGGGGUGGACGGGACUUGAAUUCAGGACAUUCAGGUUGUUCCUAGUGGUGUGAUCAGGGGCGGAGCUAGAGGAAAGUGAAGGGGGGUGCGGCACCUUCAUAGCAUAGGUAGAAGCAUAUGUAGAUAGUUAGGUAAACAUGGUAAAAUUUUAUGUUUGAUAAGAGAUUAUGAAUUUUUUCUAGAUGCAGCCGCACCCAGAACUUACUACCUAUAGCUCCACCGUACCCUUGGGUGUGAUGUCUUAAUAUGGCACAACUCAAAACAUCUACCUCUGAUACUAUUUACAUGUACCAACUAGGUGACCCAGAAGGCUAAGCUGGUGAUAAAACACUUCCACUAUAAUAAAAAUCCUUCAUGGAGCUUAGCAUGAGACCAGAUCAUGUUUGUCGAACCUUAGCCCAAAGCGUAAUGACUGUUCCUAGAUAGCUCAUGGACAAUCAACAAACCCUAAUAAAAACUCUGAUACCCUCAGGCCUCAGCUUUCAAAUGAUUACGCGAAUCCAUCAAAUGGGAAUGGAUCAAAUAGUAAACAAAUGAAAAGGUAGCCUGAUCCUUAAUACAUAGAUGCUGGCGACUUAGGACAUAGCCUAAUUAUGUCCUAUAGCCCUAACUCCUAGCACAAACGAUUAUCAACUAGUAGUUUGCAUGGUGUGAAACUAGGGAUCUUUGCGCCAUGUACUUUUUACAUGUGUACCUUGCUUUCCUUAUACGUGAUGUGCUAUUGUGCAUCUAUGGACUCCCUCCGUGUCCACAUCGUAAGACAUGUUUUGGUUUAAAAAAUUAAAAUUAGUCGAUACAUUUUAAAGAUAUAUUUGUAUUUUUUAAUAAGAUGUUUAGUUUUUAUCAAGUGAUAAAAAUAAUGUAAAAUAAAUAUAUUAAAAUAUCUUUUCUUGUCACUUCAUGGCAAGAAGUGGCAGGGAGGAGUAUCAGCAUUGAGUGCUACAUUAAGGCUCCUUUGGUUCAGCUUCUUGAAGUGCUUUUGCUUCCAAAAAUGUCAAAAGCUGACCAAAGGGAUGGCUACCAUACCAUCUGCUACCGCAAAAGCAGCUUCCCGUCAGUUCAUUUUUCGCAGCACCUUCCCCAUACUUCUACCGGCUGCGAGUCGUAACUUUCAUCAAAAUUACCCACUGCCACUCGUUAUGAACUUACCAAUUCGUCAAAACCGUGGCCUCCUCCUCCUCCUCCUCCAGCGACAUAACACGCGCGCGCUGGCGGCACCCCUCUCCGACCAUCUCCUUCCCUCCCGGUGGCGAUUCUAGGUGGCGGCGGUCCUCUCCGACUCCCUCCUCUCCUGGCGGUGGCGCUACCUCUGGCUGGUGAUUGGUCGCCAACAGCCACCCUCCCCACUCCAGCGUGCCCCUUUUCGGCCCAUUCCUCUCCUCCUGGCACCGGUUCCAGACGACGACGGCUAUCUCCAACCCCCUCCUCUCCCGGCGGCGGCACAAAAGGGGGCCGGCGGCGCUUGUGCUGUCGGGGCCAAGCAGGGUCGUCCAGCGGCGCCACUCAGCGUCCCCUCGCUCCUCUCCUCCCCUGCGCAAGAGGCCGGGUGGGUCCUAGCUGAGGUACCUCUCCCUCAGUCCCUCUUGCUUCCUCCCCUGAUUCGGUAGCUGAAGUUCUCCAGAUUUCAAUUCCUUUUGUCGUGGAAUUCUUUCAUGAUUCACAUGGUUGUUAACAAAAUUGAUGUAUGCUAAGGAUUUGCACAGCUGCUUAAAAAAAUUGAUGUAAGAUAAAUUGUUGGUUGCCUGAUUGUUACUGAUAACUGAUGAACUGAUGAAUUGAUUAUUCGGGGUAGUAAAAUGGACCUUAUCCAGCAUAAAUCUAGGUGAUUCCCUUGAUUCUGGUGAACUUGCUUGGACCUGACAAGUUGCAACCACUUAUGUCCACUGUUUUUGAAAGAAUACUCUAUGCAAUAAUAUGCAAAAAAGCUCCUGGUUGGUAAGACCUGCUGCAAUUGGCUUAGCUUCUGUAAAUCAUUGUAGUAUGGCAAUAAAUAAAUAUAUUUUGUUUCACCAUUUGAAGUGCCUUAUUUUGUUUCCUACCAUUGUUUUGAUAGGAUCAUCUUAAACAUCAGUGAUACAUCGAGCAAUACGUGUGCUUCAUGCGGCAAGAUUCAUUCGUUGCCAAGUUGACCUGAUCACUGGAGUAUAGCAUGUAGGAAAGUAGACAUUAUCCGGAUGUGUAGGCAGUAGGCGUUAUCAGUUUUCCGUAUGUAAGUGUGCGUCGUUGAUAGCUAGAAUCUGACAAACCUUCAUGAACAUGAGUGGGUUUGUUGCUGCAGGUGGAAUGGCACCUUUAGUCCAAGUGGUUUUGGUCACUGCAGAUCCUUGUAAUUGCCAUUGUAUUGAAGCAGCACUAAAGAGUUGAUAGCCUGCCUACUUUUGUUGUAAACAUGGUGUCCUUUGCGUAUCUACUUUUGGUGAAGUGAAAUGCGAAUUGCUGAUUGGCUAUAUAUCUUUUGUAAAAUGUUAUCAUUGUAUUUAUGUGGACUAUACGGUAAUGAUGGAUGCAAAUUUUUUUUAAAAAAAAUCAAGUUUUCCUUUCUAAAACGGUCAUUUACAUGUGAAUUAGUGAACAACACAGUAUUUUAUGAUCAAUUUGCAUAUCAACGGUCUCUCAGGUCUUUCAGGAGCUUUACAUACCUUUUUGCCAAACCAACAAUUUCACAGCUAUUUCAACUAGGCAACUUUCAGCUUUUUCAUAGCUCACAACAGCUUUUUCAUAGCUCACAGUCCAACCAAACAGACUCUAAGCUAUACAUGACACUGUCACUUACAUAAAAGUAACAAAGAGCGUGGAUGCGUGCAACAUGGUGAAGCUUUUCUCGAGAUGCUGCGCCAUCAAACAACGGCUUUAGCCAUGUACGGAGUACCAUGGAAGAGAGAUGUCACAUGAGCGAGAUGCAUGGUUGCUUGAUUGCUCCAAAGAAAGCUACGGCGACAAAGAUGAUCUUUACAAGGAGGGCUACGAGCGUGCUUGGUAUUUCGGAGAAAGGCAAAGGAACCGUCAAUUUUUAAGUGUUCACAUCAAUAUGAUUACUCCCAAUAUGAUUACUCCCGAAAGGAAUUUAAAAGAACUUUUAAAUUUUAUUCCAUUUUAAUUUUUAAAGAAAUAGAGAGUAAGGUAAACGUGCUCAUAUUUCGUAUUACAAUUAUUCUUACAUUUGGGCACCAAUUCGCUACCGACUAUCCGACUGUUUUUAUUUUGCUCUCUCCUUUUGCCAAUGUAGUCAUUCAAUCUUCAAAAUCCAACUCAACAGCAUGACGCGAAACAAUGUUCUCUCCCAUCCAGCAAUAUUUGUCUGGUUCGCAUGCAAAAAUCCAAAAUUUUCACAUUUAGUAGCGUGCUUGAAAUGGUGAACCACGCUAGGCACCAAACGGUGAUACGGAAGAGGCACGUUCCUGGUGCCGGCGCCGACAAAGCAAAAGGGAAAGCGGGGCCAGGAAAGGGAGAGGCGGCAGCCGGAAGGAAUCGAAGCAUCAAAGGACAGAGUACAGACUACAGAGAGGGACACCCAGACAGCGAGAUCCCCUCGCCCCGCACGCCCGCACUCCACUCCACUCCACUCCACUCCCCCGGCUCACACGCGCGCCCGCCAUUGCUGCCCCCCUUCGCUUUCUAGCAAGCUCCCCUGUCCCCCUCCACCGCUAGCUAGCUCGCCUAUAUCAUUAUUGCCUCGCACCGCACGCUGCUCUACCCUGCUCUGCUUUGCUCGGCUGCGCUCGAAAGAUGGAGAGGUGGGCGCCGGCGCCGGCGCCGGCGAGGGAGAGGCCCAGGCGGCGGGCCGGCCAGCCGUCCUUCUCGUCCACGCUGCUCGACGCCAUCUGCGACUCCUUGGACGAGCAGCCCGGCGGUGGCGGGGCAGGAACGACGGCGGCCGCGGCGAGAUCGGCUGGGAGCGCCAAGAAGCAGCAGGAGGCGGCCAUGCAUUACUACUACUACAAGCCGUCCUUGGCCGCUAGCCACCGGGCGGCGCCGCCGCCCGCGGACGACUGCUCCGGCCGCGGCUACUUCUCGUCGUCCGAGGUCGAGUACUCCCUCCGCCGCCUCCGUCCCAUCCGUACCUCUGGCGGCGUCGGGGCGGCCUCUGUGGCUCCCGCGGAGAAGCAGCACCAGCAGCAGCCCCCGGCGACGGACAAGGCGAAGGGCGCGAGGAAGCCGGCCGCCGCCUCGGCCCGCGGCGGCUGCCGCAGGCCGGCCUCCCCCGGCUCGCGGCUUGCCAGCUUGAUCAACGCCAUCUUCUCCGGCAAGCGGCAUUCCGCGCGGCAGCACCCGGCUCCGGCGGACGAGGAGCCGGCCUGCUCCACGGCGCCGUCGACCGCGCGCCCCUGCCUCAACAAGACGCCGCCGUCGGCGAGGGCGGCGCGGGCGCGCGCGAGCCGGAGCCGGAUCAGGACCGUGCGGUUCUUGGACAUCGACGGCGAGGUCGCCGUUGCUGCGGCCGCCUCGGGUUGCAGGCGAGUCCCGGUGGUGGAAGUGGAGGACAGCGACGGCGGCGAGGAGAGCAGCGACGCCAGCUCCGACUUGUUCGAGCUCGACAACCUCGCGGCCAUUGCUCCGGCGACCGGUGGCGGCCAUUGCCGUAGAGCGUGCGCUGACGAGUUGCCGGUGUACGGGACAACUGGGGCUGGGCUUCGCCACGACAUUGGCCGCCGCCUUCCGUUCGGGUAUAGCAGCCAUGGUCGGAGUUGUAGCAGGGUUAUUUGAUUAAGAAUACAUAGAGGGUGUUAACUGUAAAGUAAUUUAAUAUAAUGGGUACUUCCUCUUCUUUUUCAAGAAUUUCCAAGCUGUGUGUGUUUAUAUUUGCGCUUGCGACAAGUACCUCUUUCUUCUACUCACUGUAAACGGAAUAACAUCAUCUUGACUCUGAUAAAUUUUAUCAUAUCCACUAUAAAAUUUGCACCAUAGAAAAUGUGCCAACACAAACCCAGUGCAUUCAAAGAAACAAGAAAUGUUGAAGAAGCUGGUAAAAUUCUAGUAGUCAAAUAGAUGCGCCUUUUGACCCUGAAAUAAUUUUUAUUGCCUUACCACCAUGCAAAGGUGCCUUUCUGAUCUAGUUAAUGUAAGACCAUAACUUGGAAUUCUAGAAAAUUUGGCUUAUUUAGAGUUUUAGACGUAUCUUAGAGUCACUCCUAGUUUGCUGCUAACAACAUAAUCGUGUAAGAUGUGGAGCAGUGUUACAAAUUUCCGACUAAGGUGAUUUUGGUAGCGGGACUUAAAAGUUAAAAUAGUUAGGGUGUGUUUGGUUGGGCUGUGACUUUUGGAAAAGCUGCUGUGAGCUGUGGGCUGUGGAAAAGCAGCUGUGAGAAAGCAGCUGUGGGAAAAGCAGAGGACCGUUUGGUUAGAGGAGCUGUGAAACUGUAGGUUGUGUAAGAAAUACCUGUAAUGCCCCUAAAGGUCUCUGAGUGUGUUUAUAUGCAAAUUGCUCUUAACAAAAUAAAUUUUAUAUAUUUUUCAUCCAUUAAAGUGAUUGGUCCACAUAAAUAAAAUUAUAUCCAUCAACAUGGAUGAGCACGGAGUGGCGGCCGGCUGGCCGGCGGCCAGCAACCGGGGGCGACGGGCGGCGGGGUGCGGCGGCCGGGGUCGUCGAGCGGCGGCUGUCUAGGGGGCGGGGUGUGGUGGGCGGCCGGGGGCACCGGGAGGUGGGCCAGCGACCGAGGGCGGCGGACGGCCGACCAGCGGAAGGCGGACGGCUGGCCAGCAGCCGACAACCUGGGGUGACGGGCGGCGGGCGGCGGCGGUCGGGGUCGUCGGGCGGCGGCCGUCCGGGGGUGGGGGUGUGGCGGGCGGCCGGGGGCAUCGGGCCGGCGGCCAUCCGGGGGGCGGGGUGUGGCGGGCGGCCAGGGGCGCCGGGAGGUGGGUCGGCGACCGAGGGCGGCGGCCGGCGAGCCGGCGGAUGGCGGACGGCGGGCCAGCAGCCGGCAACCUGGGGCGACGGGCGUCGGGUGGCGGCGGUCGGGGUCGUCAGGCGGCGGCCGUCUGGGGACGGGGGUGUGGCGGGCGGCCGGGGGCGCCGGGUCGGCGGGAAGCGGACCGGCGUCCGGGGCCGGCGGAUGGCGGGCCGACGGACAGCGGAUGGCGGGCCGGCGGACAGCGUUCGGCGGCGACGGGCGGCGGGGUGCGGCGCCGGGUCGGCGGGAAGCGGACCGGCGUCCGGGGCCGGCGGAUGGCGGGCCGGCGGACAGCGACGGGCGGCGGGGUGCGGCGACGGGUCGGUGACGGGAGGAGCGGACAGACGUGAUGGGAGAAAUAGAUGGGGGCAAAAAAUGAAUCGUUACCUUCAUAAUCAGUGGCAGGUGGGUAAUUUUUUACCCCAAAAGCACUUGAAAGCAGGGGGGAAGGUGCUUUUGAUUUUAUACUAGAGCAAAAGUAGCUUUUGGGCAAAAGCACGUAGAGCUUUUAGGUCCUUUGGUUGGCUUUUAGCUUUUGCAAAAGCAAAAGCAGGUUGGAAAGCCCAACCAAAGGCACCCUUAAUAGAGGAGACGAUGUUACAAAUCUCAGAGUUGAUCUGCUACUUGGCAAAGUUUCAUUGACAUGAUGCUACAUGAUCACUGCUAAGCUCCCUAGCAAGUAUCACCGUACCAAAGCAAAAAAGGGAAGGAAAGCAAGCUAAGCAUCAGGUAUUUUUAUUUCUCUAGAAAGGGAGGGAAAGCCAGUGAAAGAGAUCCAUGCAGGGGGAUAGGGCUGACAGGGGUUGCACACGCCGUGUCUCCUCUGCACGAGAGCGCAUCAUCACGGGGAUCACCAAUGGAGCUUGUCAUGCUCGGCCGUGACAGCCGGCGACUUGCGAGCCAAGGGAAAUGAUGCCAGCGAUCAUAGCCCCUUUUCAAUAGCCUUAGCAAUUGGUGAGCUGAGCAGAGGGAGUGAUUCUCCGCCCAGUGACAUAUACUCCUAAAAUGAAUUCUGUCACAUUGUAUAGAGAGAAAUUCUUCGUAAAAUUCUCCAAGGCGAGCAACAGAACGUGUUACUUUUAGAUAAAAGGGAAAGGGAAAAGGAACGCUAUGACGUGUGUGUUUGUGUGUUGCCAACACAAAGCGUGCACGGCUCAUGUUGCUGAUACCAAAGGAACAAACAUAUUUGGCGACGUGAACAGUGCAAAUAUUGGACGGGAGAGGAGCGUACCGGUCUUCCCUCACACACACAACGGUGCCGUCGAUGUGAAAUGGCCAUUCCAUUUUUGUCGACGAAGAUGCGAUUUUUGGCGUCGAUCUCGAGAGACAACGGAGAAAGCAAAAGGGUGGAGGCCCUGACGUUUCAUUCCACCCUGUGCUGUGAUAGUCUUUCCAUUCCCCCGAGGCUGCUGCCGAAAGCACCCGCGCCCGACCGGUGACCGAUCGAGAUACCACGGCGGAUCGGCAGCGGCCGACGGUUGCCUGCUCGUGCUCGAUCAGGCUUGCUCCUGCCUUCGCCGAUCCCCAAGAAUAUUUGGGAGUUCACGCGCCGUUUCUUGUCUCCUUGCUCCACCCUGUGAGCGAUCAGUCUCGUAUCACGCAUGCUUCCAACCAGCAUCUGUCAUGUCGCGCCGCGUGCGAAAGGGCGUGCCGGUGCCAGGGCGCUGGGUGGUAGGAUCGCGGCCACGGCCUCGGCCUCGGUCUCUCAGGAAAACGCGCGGCAGGGUGCGGAACAGAGCAGAGCGGCCCGGCGGGCAAGGCAAAGGACCGUGGCGGAAGGGAGGGUGACGGUAUGCUGAGUUGCUGACGCAGGAUGCCCGAGCUUGACAUGGGCUCAGUCACGGCCCAAUGUAGUUUUGUUUCAGGUGGUGGGUUGUAUCCUGAUCAAACAGGCAAUCUUAGCUCAGAUAUGUUACAUACCGCAUGCCAAAAGGUACACAUGUCUAGUAGCCCAGAUGGAUGGUUGCCGCCGGUGUCGGAAGGACAGCCGGCGGGUGAGACAUGACUGCCGGGAUUGAGGGAGAUGAUCUUGGCAGAGAAACAUGAACGCCGUCGGGAUCGCUGCCGGAGAUUGCGAGCGGUUUCAUCGUGGGCGUGAUGCUCCCUACGGCCUGGGACUGUAGCGAUUAGAGUGUGUCAUGGGCUGGUGCCCACCCAAUAUGCUAGCGUCUGGCUUCGUUCUGGUAAUCUGGUGUUGUGCCUCCGCUCUUGCCAAAUCAUCGUAACCUUCUUUAUUUGUUCCUGAUUCGUUGUGCGAAUUGUGUUGUGCCAGACUUGUUGGUUCCGGCAAGGGCGCUCCCAUUCCCAUGGUCGUUGUUCGGAUCGACGACGACGAAGUCGAGGAAUGACGAGCAAGAAUAUAACAUCAUGGUGAGAUUGUCUCUGACGAAAAAUGGCUAUGUACGGUUUGUUGAAUCCUUCUGCUCCCAUAGGCAGAGAAGCAAAUAGCCUAUAUUUGCUCUAUUUUCCGUGUGUUUAAUGGUGCAAAUUCUGUCGCCGUCUCGUUGAUGCCGUUUUGCACGUGAUGCGGGUGAACGUCGUCGUUGCCGCCGCGUCUCUGUCGGGUCGUCGAUGAUGAGGGGCCUCUAGAGGCUGACGGUUGAACUCCACGUUUCCGAUAUCCCGGGCCAACUCAGUGAGCGAUGCGCGACAGAUUAGCAAUUAAAAAUCAAUCUAUGCGGGAAUGUAAAUGAACAAAGAGAUUGAAAUUGAAAGAAUGAAUAUUUCAUAUUUAAUUAUAUAUGGUGCCGAUGCCGUUUCGAGGUUAAAAGAUAUUUAAAGGUGUCUCUUUACGAAUAGAAUAAUUUUAAUUCUAACAACCAGCACAUCACCAACACAGAUGAUGUACUUACAUUAAUUAAUAAGUUUUUUUUUGCUAUGGUUGUUAACUCGAGACCUUUAUUUUCAUUUCAAUAGAAAAGGAAGCUAUUUCAGAAGAUGUCAGAUCGAAAGAGGCAGGGAGAGGAAAGGCAUGUAACAAACUCAUGCAUGUCACAGCAAUCACCGAAGAUCCCUCGGCCUGUACUCCCCGCGCAACCAAGCAUUCAAGCCGCCCAACCAAGCAUUCAGGCGCCUAGCUAGGCAGGUAGCUAGGCACCAAGAUACUCCGCCGUGAGCCCGUGAGAGGCUUGAAGAUACGCAGCUCAUCGGAUUCGAGCGCGGCGGCGAGCGUGCCCACAAGUCGGCGCUGAUAAUCCACGAACCGUUGCCUCCCGGAUGAGCGGUGACGACGAGGUUGGCCGAGCAGAGCCCCUCGCUCGCCCAGGUCGGCAUGGCCAAAGCGGCGUGCCCGAAGCCGAAGUCCGUGUCGAGAGGGAGCGAGGCCCACACCCUCUGGCUAAGGGUCGGCCGAGCCCCACCGUCGCCUUCUCCACGACAUCCUCGCCCUUGUGCUCCUCCACCCAGUCCACGAGCUCCUGGACGCGUUCGUCGUAGUCGACGGAGGUGAUGGCGUCCCGCACCAUGGCCGCGACGCCGGCCAUGGUUUCCUGCUGUAUCGUUGCCACGGCCGCUUCCCCUACCACGUAGGGCGUGACGUUGCCCACUUAGUCGCGCAUGGCCGCGCGGAGCUCCGGCGACGUGACCCGCCGCCGCGCGUCCACCCACCACCUGACCACCCCAUGCGGCAGGUCGCCUUGGGCCCACGCUUGGAUGCGCCGCCCACGGCGGCCGCUAAGGACUUCCAUAGGUACGUGGACACCGCCUGGACUCGCGACGCGCGCUGACCCGCCUCUCCGCCGCUCGCCAUGGCCUUCAGCCUCGCGAUGUCCUGCGCCUCGACGUAGUACAGCCUCUCCACGACGCUGUCCCUGGCCGUCAGGACGUUGACAAGGUGGGCGUCGUCGAACGGCGUGAACAUCUCGUCGAGAGAGGAUCCGUACGACCAGGGGCGGACCCAGGCAGGUCCAGGCAGCGCAACUGGAGCGAUCGAGCCGGGCCUAAACAUUAGGGGCUCUAACUAUUGAACUUUAACUAGAGGUUAAGAAGAUAUUAGUACGUAAUAUUCGUCCUUUAAUCCUAUAACAUGAGUACGUAAUUUCAUAUUGCAGUUCUUUGUAUGAAAAAACCAUGUACUUAUUACUCACAUACUGAAAUUCAAAUAUAUCUUAAUAUUUGUGUUUCACUACUAUAGUAUAUAGUAUAUAUAGGACCCCAUUUCUUGGUUUGCUCCAGGGCCUCAAAAUCUCCGGUACGAUCCUGCACCCAGGUAUUGACGGAAGAAAAUUGGGUGCACACCGGAUGCGUUUUCAUCCGGUGCAUACCCAGUCCCCCCGCGCGAUGCGUAGAUCUGACGGACUGCGUCGCGCAUGCGCUCGUUCCUCGUCCUCAUGGAAUCGCCUCGGCUCGGCUCCCAGCCAGCUUGCGCCGGCGCCCAGGCAAGACGAGCUGCUCGGCCUGCAUUUCCUCGCCUCAAAACAGAUCGAGCCGCUCCUCCUUCCGUCCUUCGUCCUUCUCCAGGAGACAGACUUGCCGUCUCGUCGAGGUAGGUGAGUUUCCCGGUUCUUGUGUGAUGAAUUUUGUUUCUUGCACUGUGCAUACUGCUCUUUUUUCCUUGAGAGCCAUUGUUGGAUGCUUCGUCGGUGGAAAGGCACAUGCUUCAUGUUUCAUACAUCUUUAUUUCCUUCUGCGUGAUUUUCAUUCAGUUAAGUUGAUUUGCAAAUUUUUCUCAACUUUCACUUCUCCUGCCUUAAUUUUUAGCAUUUUGUUGUUAGUUUUCCCUCUUCUGUGCUACUCCUGUUGCACACAAGCAUGUUAACUCUAUGGUGCUACUAGAUUUAGAAAUCAGCUCCAUUCAGUUUAAUUUGUUUCAUAUCAGUGUUAUGAUCAUCUUGUUAAAGAACUACAUCUUUAUUUCCCCCAACUGUUACCAUACUGAUCUGCUUCCUUCUAUCUAUUUCCAGCAUAUAUCUGUAUCUCAGGGCUGAAUUCAUGGAGACAAAGAUGCCAUUUGAUAUGAACAAUCUUAUGUUCCACAUCAAGAGAAUAGUGUAUCCUUCUAUCAGACUUGGCUAUCAAUCUGCUUGUGACUAGCCUGUAGUACUUGGCAUUGGACUUCUGUUGCUGUUCCUGCACAAACUUUGCCCUUCUCUGUUUACUUUCCUUAUGUCUUCAUCUCCAGUGUUCCUGUUAACUGCACUUCUUCUUGGAGCACUAUUGAGUUAUGGGGAACCAAGUGCUCCAGUGAUUGGAGAAGAAACACUGGAGAACCAGAAAAAAUCAUCCCCUGGAUCCAAAGUCUCUGUUACUGAAUGUUCAGUUGAGGAGGCGGCGGGCAACCUGGGAUCACGGCUGUGGCGCAGGAGAAGGACGAAGGACGGAAGGAGGAGUGGCACGAUCUAUUUGAGGCGAGGAAACGCAGGCCGAGCGGCUCAUCUUGCUUGGGCGUCGGGGCAAGCUGGCUGGGAGCCGAGCCGAGGCGAUUCCGUGAGGACGAGGAACGAGCGCAUGUGCGACGCAGUCCAUCGGAUGGAAGGGGCGUCCACGCGUCGCGCGGGUGGACUGGAUAUGCACCCGAGCACCCGAUGCAUUUUGCAUCCAGUCUACACCCAAUUUUCUUCCGUAUUGACCAAGAGGGGGGCUGAUCCAAACUUAAUAUAAGAUUAAUUAAGUGUUUUGCACCUCUAUUAGUUGUAUAAUUUUUCUUAGAUCUCCACUGUUUUUCCAGCCUUGGACCUGGGCUGCAGCCUGGGCAGCUCGGAUCCUGGAUCCGCCACUACGUACGACGAUGGGUCACGGGGGCGGAGCGCUGAGUGGUCGUAGCUCGGGGCUCCCACGGCGGCGAUCGUCCCGGAACAGGCGAGCUCCGAGCUUGUCCAGCUGAGCCUCAUCGCGCUGUUCCCGUCCAAGACGAGGUUGUUGUUGCUCCAUGCCACCGAGAAGCCGCCGCAGGCGAACGACACGAGCUGCACCGAUAGCAGGACGUCGUCGGCGUACGGCACCAAGAUCCUCUUCAAGGACUCGUCAGCCAGGCCGAAGUCCAGGCUCCGAAGGGGCACCUCGGCUUCGCCGACGACAAGCUCCGCGCCUUGGUUGCGGCAGUGGAUCUCCGGUAGGCCGGAACCAGGGUUAGUCACUGCGACCAAUCAGUGGGAAGAAGUGGUCGAGCAAGGAUGGUAAGCCGGCCUCGAAGGCGGCAACCACGGCGUCGAAGUCUCCGGUGAGAGGCUUGGGGUAGAUGCACAAUACUGAGGUCUGGUAGGUGUUUGGGAUGAGGUCAAGGUUGGAGACAGUGAUUACAUCCGCUCGCGGCUCCUUGGGGUGGUCGGACACUUUCACAAGGCGUCGAUUCACGACACGGACUUGCAACUCAGAGCUACGAACCUGAGGUGUCGCCAUUUUCUUCCAGUAUCCUAUCAGCACGAACCUCUCAGGCUACAGUGUAUGGUUCGACGUCUCUUUGGAUGAAUGUCACGCUGCAAAAUGUGAACCCAUAUAUAGGGCUACAACCAAAUAGUUAACAGAGAUAUCCCGUCGUUGGAUAACCAAAUCUCGAGGAAAGAUAAUUCAGUCAACUUUCCAAUGCAAGAAACAAAGCAUCUUUUGUGCUUCCAAUGUGAAAUUAGGUGGAACGUGAUGCCUUCUCAGGCUCACGGCUUCGUGUUAUAUAGGCCAGGGUUUUCAAUUCCGAUAUAAAUUUUUUUUGGCCCCCUUCAAAAAACGCGACAUUCCUGAAAUUUUAGAAAAUUUAAAUUCUUUUCCGGUCAAAUGUCACUGGAAUUUAAAAAUUUGAUUACUUAGAGAGAGUAGGUAAGGUAAAUAGAUAAACAACCUUCAGUCACAUCAUUGUGGGAAGUGUAGCACACGACCUGUUAAGAGGAGCAGAAGAGUUGUACCACUGCGCCAUUGCUUCCUUUGAGUUUAUACGACUUUGUUCAGGUUUAUAAUAUAUUAUAAUUCAAAUAUGUCUGAAAUGUUUUAGCCGAAAAGAAUUUUUUUCGUUCCCCAUCAAAAAAUGCGAAAUUCCAGAAAUUUUGACGAUAUUUCGCCGAAAAUGUGAACCUUUAUAGGCUAGAAAAAUCCCCUUGUGUGGCAUUACAACUUGGACUAUAAGAUACAUCUCAACAACCUCCCAAACUUCCUAUACAAGAAUCUAUACUUGGUUACAAAGAAACCCUAUCACACGAAACCUCUAGAACCUACUGAACAUGAUAUCUGUUUACACCCCCUGUCAAUCUCAACUCUCUACAAUGUUGAGAUUGUACCGAAAUGACUUCAACAUUCUAUUCUCCAGAGAGAGGCUUUGUAAAGCUGUCUGCUAAUUGAUCUCCAAAGUUGAUGAAUCUGACAUCUAGAAGUUUACGAGCUACCUGCUCUCUCAUAAAGUGAAAAUCUAUUUCAAUGUGCUUAGUCCGAGCAUGGAACACAUGAUUCUCUGUCAAGUACUUUGCGCCAAAUUGUCACACCACAAAUUAGCAGCUGCAGGAUGUGAUAUCUUUAAUUCACCAAGUAAUUUCUGAAUCCACAUUACCUCUGCAGUUGCGUUGGCUAGUGCCUUGUAUUCAGCUUCAAUGCUUAAUCUGGAAACUGUGGGUUGCUUGCAUGCACUCUAGGAUAGUAGGUUAGAGCCAAGAAAUACUGCAAAGCCUCCUGUAGAUUUCCUAUCAUCCGGGCAUCCAGCCUAGUCUGCAUCUGAGAAGGCACUAACAAGCAUGGAGGUGGACUUCUUAAUGUGUAAUCCAAACUUUAUUGUGCCUUUAACAUACCUGAGAAUUCUCUUGACAGCUGACCAGUGGAUUAAUGACGGUGCAUGGAGAAACUGACAAACUUUGUUAACAACAAAAGAAAUGUCUGGUCUAGUCAAAGUUAAGUACUGUAAUGCACCAACAAUACUCUUGUACCAUGUAGAAUCCUCUGGUCCAAGUUUCUCACCAUCAUGAACAGUAAGUUUUUCCGUUGUUGCCAUAGGUGUACCGAUAGGUUUACAAUUACUCAUAUUGACACAUUCAAGAAUCUCAGUGGCAUAUCUUUCUUGUGUAACCACAAGACCAUCUUGUAACCUCUUGAUCUCAAUCCCCAAGAGGUAGUGGAGUGCACCUAAAUCCUUCAAGGCAAAGUCCUUUUCAAGAUCACACAAAAGAGCUGUAGUAGCUUCCUGCGAAGAACUAGCAACAAUGAUAUCAUCUACACACACAAGGACAAAUAUAGUAUAACCACCUUUGUUAUAGAAGAAUAAAGAUGUGUCACCUUUAGAAGGAACAAAACCAAGCUCUUCCAGCUUAUGACACAACCAAGAGUAAAAUCCUGGUUUGCUUUUGUCUUCAUAACCUGGUGGUUGAUGCAUAUAGACUUCCUCCUCUAAGAUGCCAUGUAGGAAGGCAUUUUGAACAUCUAGCUGAUAAAGAUGCCAACCUUGUGACACUGCAAGAGAUAAUAUGAGUUGAAUGGUGGCAGCUUUGACUACUGGACUAAAUGUGUCCUCAUAGUCAAUCCCAUAUCGUUGCUUAAACUCCUUUGCAACAAGCCUAGCUUUAUACCGAUCUAUGGUUCCAUCUGCCUUCCUUUUAACCUUGUAAACCCACUUGGAUCCUAUGACAUUCUUGUGUUGUUGUUGAGGAACUAAAUGCCAAGUUUUAUUUUUAACCAAAGCUUGAAACUCAACAUCCAUUGCCGCACGCCAAUGAGAGUUAUUAAGAGCAUCAACAAGAUUAGUAGGUUUAGAAACAGUAGCAAGGUUACCAAAGCGUACCAUCCCAUUAGUAUACUAUUUUGGUUUACGGAUACCAUGUUGAAGCCGCAUGACAGGUCAUGGUAGUGUCGAAGGAGUGGUAGACGACGCCGGAGCAGCAGGCGUUGAUGUAGAAGUCAUUGUAGGAGCACCCGGUGCAGAGAAUCUAGGGGAAAGAAUCCCAACAGGUUCGACUGCAGAUUGCUGUCCCCCCGCGGUCGGAGCCAAGGAGCCAGAUGACGCAGCUGGAUCGGCUCCCACUGCAAGUGGAGAGGAUGCGGGCCCCGCCGAGCCACACAUCGAGGGAGGAGGGGCUGGUGGAGCAUGCCCGGGAGGCAGCUGUAGGUAGGACGCCACACGGCGUGUCGGAGGAGUCUCCCGCAUCGUGGGAGACCGACGCCUAAUCCGAGGACGAUUCGCCUGCCAGGGGUGCAGGAGGAUCUGCUCCAGGCUGCAUGCAGGCUGUGUUGCCACCAUUAGGGGGUGAGUUUUGCAUGAAAUCACACCCAAAAUGCUCCAAAUUUUCACCAGAAGCUGCAGAAACAUUAGAAGGAUCUGUUGGGGAUGCUGUAGCUGUAGUAGAAUCAUAAGGGCAUGAUGAAUUAAACAGGAAUUGAUCAUUAGUGAAAACACCCCCUAGUAAUGAAUUGGGAAGAAGCAAAAUUUCAGAUCGAAGUUGAGCGCUGGCAUUAGGGUGUAGCUGAGCAAAAGGAAAAACACCUUCAUCAAAUACAACAUCACGGGAGAUGUAAAUGCAACCAACGGAGAUGUCUAAGCAUUUAAACCCUUUAUGUAGAUUACUAUAACCCAAAAACACACAUCUCUUUGAGCGAAACUGAAGUUUUCAAUUGUUGUAAGGUCAUAAGUUGGGCCAGCAGGCACAACGAAAGGUGCGACAAGAGGAGCAAUCCGUAGUUUGCUCAAACAGAAGUUCCAAAGGAGUAGAGUUCUCAAUAACUUUGGAGGGUAAAUGAUUUAUAAGAAAGGUCACAGUGAGAAAGGCUUGAUCCCAAUACUUGAGCGGCAUGGAAGCAUGAGCAAGGAGGGAUAGACCAACUUCAACAAUGUGUCGGUGUUUAUGCUCAGCGGACCCAUUUUGUUGGUGGGCAUGUGGACAUGAAACAUGAUGGGAGUUUCCAAUGCGCUGAAAAAAGUGUUUAAUUGUUGAUACUCCCCUCCCCAAUUUAUUUGCAUUGCAACAAUUUUGCGAUUAAAUAGGCGCUCAACAAGAUUUUGCCAAAAGAGGUGGGAGCUGGCCCCCAUACAUAUGAGAAAACAAGAUGUAAAGGACAUCUAGAUAUGCUAGAGGACCUUGGGUACGGCAACUGAUUGCUCUUGCCUUGUUGACAGGCGGCCAGACCAUGGCUUUAUUCGAAUCUGGAACAAAAGAUAAACUAUUCCGACUACGAACUUGUUGGACAACCGGAAGUGAUGCAUGACCAAGACGGCUGUGCCACAAGGAGGUUGUCAGUUUGAUGGCUCCAAACACCUAUUUAUUGGGGAAGGACUUCAAAGGAUAGAGGCCUUCUUCACAUCUGCCUUGAAGAAUUAUUUUCCUCGUCAUUUGUUCCUUAAUUAGAAAAUGAUUAGGAUGGAACUCAAGAAAAGUGUCAUUAUCUUUGGCUAUGAGAUGAACAGAAGGAAGGCUUUUUGUUGCUUGGGGGAAAAUGCAAGAUAUUUUUGAGAACUAGAUCUUUACUAGGGGUGUGUAAAACACUACGACCAAUUUGAUUAAUCACCAUACAUGCUUCGCUGGUGGUGUGGACUUGAUCUCCUCCGGAGUACUUGUCCAUGAUGGUCAGCUUGUCAAGUUCCCCGGUGAUGUGAUCUGUUGCCCCUGUGUCCAUGUACCAGUUGCUGUCGGUGCCAUAGGAAGUUGUUGUAGUUGAUGCGGACUUGGGAUCAGGUAUGCCGAUGAAGGAGGCGUCGAACCUCUUAUAGUAGUGGAAUCACGGUGUGGCCCUCCUUGCCACACAACUAGUAGGUAGGACGGUGACCAUUGUUGCCGCCACCUCUUGCUCCUUGGCGCCCACCAAUGCGGCCACGACCACGACCAUCGCCGCCACAACCGCGACCACGGCCAUUGCUGCCACUAUGCUCAUGGGAAGCCAUGUUCAUGGAUGAGUUGUUGGAGCCAUUCCCAACCAACAGAUCCAUCCUUUGUUCAAAGGAAACAAGUUGGGUGUAGAGCUCACCAAGUGUGAUGGGUUCGGUGUGUGCAGCCAUCACAGAGAUGACAGGGUUGAAGUCGACGUUGAGACCGGCGAGGAUGUAUGAUGCAAUCUCCUCAUCUUCAAGCUUCUUGCCAGCGGAUGCCAUCUCAUCCGCUAGUGCAUUCAUCUUGCCAAAGUAGUCGGCGACGUUGGAGCUCCCGUUCUGCGCAGUGGCCAGGGCCAUCCGUGUGUUGAUGACGCGUGCCCUGGACUAAGAGGCAAACAUGCCCUCAAUCACAAUCCAUGCCUAAGCCGCCAUAGGGAGCGAUGCGAUCUAUGCCAAGAUGUUGCGCAAGACUGAUGAGAGCAGCAAGUUAAGGACCUGCUGGUCAUGAGCAACCUAGAUGUCAUGCUCCGGGUUGGGGAUCUCCUUGGCAUCCUUGAUGAUGAUCUUCGGCGGAGGAGCAGCAAUUGCGUCGAGGAAGCUGGCCUUCUAUGCACCACGAAGGGUAGAUAGGAUCUGCGCCUUCCACAUCUGGUGGUUGGUGCAGGUGAGCUUCUCCGUCACGGGAAAGCUGAGCGAAGCUACAGCAGAUGCUACGGAAGAUAAGGGGGACACCAAGGGAUAUUCUAGAUAGAAACCUAGCUCUGAUUACCAUGUGAAAUUGGGUGGAACGUGAUGCCUUCUCAGGCUCACGGCUUCGUGUUAUAUAGGCUAGGAAAAGCCCCUAGUGUGGCAUUACAACUUGGAGUACAAGAUACAUCUCAACAACCUCCCAAACUUCCUAUACAAGAAUCUACACUCGAUUACAACAAACCCUAUCACACAAAGCCUCUAGAACCUGCUGAACACGAUACCUGUUAACAACUAUAUAUGUACUAUGCUUCGUGCUACCUUGAGAAUCCAAAAGAAGAAUUCUCAACCAAGCUGACGUAUAUGGUUUGAUGGAUUUUGGAUGAGUGUUAUGCUGUAUGAAUCCUUAUCGAAUGCAGAAAUGACGUAUAGGUGGAAUGGUAAAGAAUGAUUGCGCAAGAGGGCAGGUCGUGGGUUUGAAGGCUAGAUACUGCACACGCGUGUAUUUCGCAUGAAAAGCGCGUGACUUGUGACCGUGAGGGCUGGCUCAAGGUGGUCCUCUAGACCUAAAUAAUAUUGUUCCUAUUAUCGUUUACAUAUUCCCUUAUGCCUGCUAGUGCCGUUCCUGUUGGCUUCGAUGCUGGCACAGAUAAUCAUCCCAUUCGAGUUAGUUUCGUGGUUCCGAUCCAAUCAUCUAUACGAUGAGGUUUCGUGCUAGCACGGAUAAGGUGCCCUACGGUAGUGAAUGAGACUUUACAUUGAGAAUGAUUUAAAUGAUAUGUCCCACGGUUUGAUAACCCGAUCUUGAAGAAAGAUAAUUUAGUCAACUACCCAUCAUGGGACACAAGGCAUCUUUUGCGCUUCCAAUUAUAUUUAUGCUGCCUUAAGAAGCAUACUCAAAUGCCUCAUAAGUUGACCUGUGUCCUGUAGGUAUGCAGCUACUAUCGUGCAACGAGAUGCAUUUACGCACCAGAGCAGCAAGUUCAAUAGUAGAGUCCAGUAUAUUACUCCUAUCUCUAAACCUGGGCUGUCUUGUCACUUAUUGUUUCUAAAAAUGUCAUGACUAAUGACAACAGCAAUACUCAUGUAAUAUAUAUAAUAUUGUAUAUCGCUAGUGGGCUAGCCUUUUCGUUCUCUCUCGCUGCCUCUGCAGCCAGCACAUAGCCUCCUUGUUACAAUGAGCAUAAGACAAGCAAAAGAGAGCACAAGUGAAAUGAAAGCAGUCUAUUGUUGCUUAUCCAUCCAUUUCAUAUGGAAAGUUCCAAAGCAACGACCUCCAAAGGAAGUAUUUCAUACAUAAGUUUAUCAAAUGCCGAGUGUGUUUUUUGUAAGACUUGACAUAAGCCUACUAUUGUGUUUAAGCCAUAUCAUUAUCAUAAAUGAAUAACACUGUCUUGCCUAAUUUAUCUCCUCUCCAUUAAUUUGUUCUACCUUAGAGCCCAUUGUCGGUGAUUAUGAUAGCCUAAACAAGUUAUUUAGGGACCCUAGAGUCACAAAGCAAACUCUAAGGUUAGUACAGGGGAGGAAGCCGUCCACUUUGAAGGAGGCGAACAUCCAGGUACUAGUGGAUGCGAAUCUGCUCUAGGAGAAGGAGUUCGCAGAUUGGAGAGAAGCAGCCGGAAAUCCGUGGCCCUUUGAGGUGUACUCGGACGAGACAGUGAUCUUCGCGCACUUCAUCGAGCGCAGGUUGGCACUGCCAUCGUCCGAGUUCUUCAGGGGUUUGCUAAGGUAUUACAAUCUAGAGCUUGUCCAUCUCAACCCAAACUCAAUCUUGCACAUUGCUAUCUUUGUGCACCUCUACGAGGCCUUCCUGGGAAUUCAACCCCACUUCCAGCUAUUCGGAAGUUCUUCAGAGUAAAGCCCCAAUCCCGGAUGGACCACACUUUAGUAGUUGGAGGGGCAGGGAUCCAGCUGCGGGAGCAGUAUAAGACCCAAUACAUUGAGUACGAGCUGAUUGACUCCCAUUCUGGAUGGAAGCAAUGGUGGUUCUAUAUUGCAAAUCAUGAGCUCCAUCUUCCCAAGGUCACCGGCCACCGUCCAGUGUGGAACAACCACUGGUUGGACGAGCCGAGUAGUUCCGACGGCUUUCAACUGUCGGAGUUGAUUUCUAAGAUCCCCCGCCUCAAGAGUAAUGGCUUGACCAGUGUCGGUGUGGCCUUCAACUUCAUGAGGAUGCGUGUCCAUCCCCUACAGCUUCGUUGCACUAUGGGGUAUGACUACUAGGGUCCCAACGACCCGUCGAGGAUGAUGUCAGAGGAGCUGUCCCCUAACGAGGUGAUGGUGCACCUGAAGCAUUUCUUCUAGCGCGUUAGUGGUAUCCUGACGGUCUUGUAGGAGUACUGCGCUGCGAACCCGCCAAACCCUACAAGUACCCGUGGCUUGUAGCCCCGAGUACUAGCUUUGGCGUCUGUCAUUGUUAGUGACUUCCGACCCGAGGGAAUGUGUUCCAGCCAGGCUCGUGCUGAGUCGGCCAGGAACAGCGGGAGGUUGCGAAUGAUGAAUAGGUCGUCAUCCGCCCUGCCGGCCUGACAAGCAAGCCGGUAGUCGCUGAGCCAAAGCUCGGGGUUCGUCUCCCCGGAGUAUUUGGCCAUGUUCGUGGGCUGCCUAAAAUGCGUUGGGAAUGGCGCGUUCAGGAUGCGUGCAGAGAAGGCCCUGAGCCCCGCUGGGUCGGGGCUCGGGCUCCGAUCUUCUUCACUAUCGUAGCGGCCACCACGGUGGACGUGGUAGCCACAAUCCUGUGGCGGAACCACCUCGGAUUAACUUAAUUAAAGUACGGUUAAGCCGCUUGACACGCGACACUCAUGCCUUAGUCAAGUUAACUCGAAGUGCCAUCGGAUUUCAUCCGAUUUAACCACUUAACAGGACCGAGUUAGCAUAACCCACACAAAGGUGAGUGGUUCCAGAAAAUACAACAGAUCCACCGAGUUAAACAAGUUUGACAAUUUAUUUCAACAUCAAGUCGAAAGUCAGAGUUUUACAAGAUUCAAAAGCAGUGGAAAGAUAAAAUAGCGGAAGCUAUCGCCGGGGUCGGAUGUCCCUGAUGAGGCCGAUCAGGACAUCAGUGAUCCCUUUCCUCGCCGUCCGAGGAGGGAUCCCACUCGACCGUCCACCCAGGAGGAAGCUGGGGCGGCCAAGUGCCAACAAGAGCAAACUCAGGAGCUUCAACUUCACCUAAAAUAGAGCCACAAACAAGGCCGAGCUGCUAAGCUCAACAAGACUUAACCGACUAGUGGAGAACUACUCCACCAACAUCUAGACAUGCAAGGCUCUUUGGCUGAGGGGUUUGUGUUACCAAAAGCGACUACAGUGGGUCCUUACUUUCAAUAUUUUAGCUCAGAUUCUAAGUUUAUUAACCAGUCUAUGUUGGCAACUUAUGCUAAACAACCAUAGUUUCAAACAACAAAGUAUAGAACAAGCAUCGGGUUCAUAUCAUCAUCAUGUUCCAUCUUUACUCAGUGUAGCAUAGCGAUCAAGCAGUCUCAAACUAUGAGAGGCAGACGAAUCGAUUCUAGUUUCUUAACCAUGCAUGGCAAACCUAAUCUCACGACAUCCGCACACCACAAAGGGUCGCUUCCUGUGUCGGCUGUCCCCAUCAAUUCCCAGGCACGUGUCAGGUCCAAACUUCCCUUGGCAUGCAAUGCUCCACAGUCCCGGCCUCUACCGUACUGUGACCACACUUGCACCCACAUGAUGCACCAUGGGAACCUCGUUCUAGGGACAGCAGGGGUAUAAGCCACGCCCUAGUUCAAUCAGGUACUAGGCUUCCCCAUCCCAUACUAGGUAUGAGAUUAGUACUUUCAAACACUUGAUCACGAACACCAACACUUUCCGACCUUAAGCAAUUUCAUAUAGACAGACAGGGCAAUCCACUGACCACCAAAAGAGUUCACCAGGCCCUGCCCCAUCCAUCGUCCUUAUAGUUGUAACCAGAAGGAGAACAACCAACUCCUAUAAUUCGCGAGUGACAGGAAAUCACUCGACUUUUACCAAGUCCUAUUAAGCAAUGCAACUACUCGGAGUUAUCAGGCUAGUGUUCAGAUCAAGGGGACUAAGUCAUGCAUCUAUGGUUUCAAACAACUCCUGUACUUAAAUGCACAUACAAACGAAGGAAGACAUGUGUAAGUUUAGAAAGUUGGGUUCAUGCUCCGGGGCUUGCCUUCAAGCGGAGGGGAGGGAAACUGGUCCUCUAAGGGCUUUGCUUCAGCUCCUGCGGUCCGCGGCUCAGCUACUGCUCCGUCUUCGGGCACCGGGUGUAGCUUGUAGACGCCGUCAGCGAGAUGCAACUCUACACGAAUGCAAAUACAGGAGUUAAUGUUUAGACGGUUAUUUCAACAACCCUUGCGAGUUAAAGCUCGGACACUGGUAGCAAGGCUACAGAAAAGGUGGGGGAAGUUCACUUUAGUUGGUGGAGAAUAGGAUAAAAGGGGUAGGAUGGGGAUAAACUUGUGAUCUGACCCUUAAACUUUAAGGGAUAACUGUGUUUGGGGUCCUUAGACUUAACGCAGAGAAAACCCCGAUAUUUGACAUAGAUACCUUUGGGUCAAAGAAAAAGAUACAGCCGAGCCCUCGGGCGAGGCUGAUAUGGGUCGGCGAAACAGAUAGGGUCGGGCGAGACGGAAAAAGGGGUCGGGUGAGACAGAAAAAGGGGUCGGGCGAAACAGACAGGGUCGGGCGAGAUGGAAAAAGGGGUCGGGCGAACCGGUAAGGGGGUCGGCAGUUUACCUUUAGGCCUACUGAUGAAGUCUUGGGGUCGGGAAGAACAGGCUCAGGCGGAGCGAUGAAAGGUGCUAAGGCUUGGGCGGCGGCGAUGUCCGGCGGUGCUCCGGCAGCGGCGGAGCUUCUUGUGGGCAACAAGGAAACUCUAGCACAGCGUGGAUUACCACUCGACGCACUACUGGUGCGGAAGAUGUAGAUAUGCGUUGAUGCAGUGAAGACGAUCACGUAGUCGUACGUAAUCGAUUAACGUAGUCGUACGUAGUCGAUCACGUCACGUCCAGCAGCUCCUCAGCAGCUCGUCCACAUGCAGCAAGAUCGGCUCCGGUGCCGCGGCUCGUCGUCGGCUCGUCGUGGCUCGUCGGCGGCUCGUCGAUGGCUCAUCCAAGUGCUGUAGGCGCAACACCUCCAAGGUAUCCACACGUGCAGGGAGGAAGCGUCGCAAGCCGGACUGCUAGAUCCGCGAGUUGCAACAGGCGAGGGCGUGGGAGGCGCGGCAGGUGUGUUUCGCCAAAAGGUGUAAACCCUAGGGCGCCCCCACCCCUCUAUUUAUAGAGGUUCCUAAUGGGCCUCUGGGUCCGAGGCCCAUUAGUACUUCUAAACCUAAUCCAACUCGGAUCAGAUCCGAAUUAGGCUUCCAGCCCCUUAAGUGUGUGACCCUAUGGGUUCGGAUACGUAUAGACAUGGCCCGAGUACUCCUACUCGGCCCAAUAAUCGGUAGCGGCCUCUAGCAAGACGUGCCAACUCCUAUACGCACACGAAGAUUAUAUCAGACGAACCAUCACAAUAUAAUAUACAUGCUAUUCCCUUUGCCUCACGAUAUUUGGUCUAGCUUCAAGCCGACCGCUCUUUCUCGAUCCUGUGAUUCGGAAUCCCUUUGUAGGUUAACUCUUAACCGUACGUAGCAUGGCCAUGCAUUUUUGGAUCCGAUCACUCGAGGGGCCCAGAGAUAUCACUCUCAAUCAGAGAGGGGCAAAUCCCAUCUUGAUUGACCAUGUCUCAUAGCAUGCUUCUUGACAAACCCGAAAGCUACCUUUAUAACUACCCUGUUACGGCGUAGCGUUUGAUAGCCCCUAAGUAGGUCGAUCCACAUCUAGAAUACAUGCGACAAUCUCAGGUCUAAGGACAAAGCGUAUAUGUUGUUUAAAGAGAGAACUACUUCUCAUGUUGGGUCAGUCCUAGCACAUGUCUCCACAUGUGUCCACAUUAUUAGUUCAACAUCUCCAUAUCCAUGACUUGUGAAACAUAGUCAUCAACUAAUACAUGUGCUAGUCUAAUAUUCAUGUGUGUCCUCACAUGAACUCCGACUAGGGACAACUUUAGAAUAACCAUACAAGUAAAGAGUUUCACAUACAAUUCAUAUAAUUGCAAAUCAAUUCAAGUAGCCUUCAAUGGAUAUUCAAUGAACACAACAUACAAAUCAUGGAUACAAAUGGAAUAUCAUCAUCUCUAUGAUUGCCUCUAGGGCAUACCUCCAACAGUCUCCCACUUGCACUAGAGUCAAUCUAGAAGGUACCUAAUACCCAUAGCUCUUACAUGUGCAUCAUGCUUAGCCUGCGGGAGUGGUUUCGUCAACGGAUCAGAAAUGUUCAGAUCCGUGUGUAUUUUGCAUAUCUUGAUCUCACCCCGGUUAACGAAGUCUCGAAUGAGAUGAAAUCGCCGCAUUACGUGUUUGUUCUUCUGGUGGUUCCUUGGCUCCUUUGCUUGCGCAAUUGCCCCAUUGUUGUCACAGUAGAGAUUCAAUGGGCUGGACGCAUUCGGGAACACACCAAGCUCAACGAGGAAAUUCCUUAUCCAAACACCUUCCUUCGCGGCUUCUGAAGCCGUGAUGUACUCGGCUUCUGUCGUAGAAUCGGCCACCGUCUCCUGCUUGGAACUCUUCCAACUAACAGCACCACCAUUUAGCGUGAACACAAAUCCUGAUUGUGACUUUGAAUCAUCUCUGUCGGUUUGGAAACUAGCAUCGGUGUAACCUGUUACAACGAGCUCCUCCUCACCACCAUAGACGAGGAACAUAUCUUUAGUCCUUCUCAAGUACUUAAGAAUGUUUUUCACCGCUGUCCAGUGACUCUCACCUGGAUCAGAUUGGUGUCUGCUUGUCGUACUUAGCGCAUACGAAACAUCUGGACGAGUACUUAUCAUUGCAUACAUGAUAGAUCCAAUAGCCGAGGCAUAUGGCACUCUACUCAUGCGAUCCCGCUCAUCAGCAGUCGAAGGACACUGAGUCUUGCUGAGAUGUAUGCCAUGUGACAUAGGCAAGAACCCUUUCUUUGCCUCUUCCAUGCUGAACCGCUUCAACAUUUUGUCAAUGUAAGUAUCUUGGCUUAAACCUAUAAGCCUUCUCGAUCUAUCUCUAUAGAUCUUAAUGCCCAGAAUAUAUGCCGCUUCCCCAAAGUCCUUCAUCGAAAAACUAUUUUUCAGUGAAGUCUUUACGGACUCAAGCAUAGGAAUGUUAUUUCCAAUCAGUAAUAUGUCAUCCACAUAUAAGAUUAGAAAUACUACAGAGCUCCCACUAACCUUCUUGUAAACACAAGACUCUUCUUCGUUCUUGGUGAAGUCAAACCCUUUGACCACUUCAUCAAAACGAAUGUUCCAACUCCUAGAUGCUUGCUUCAAUCCAUAAAUGGAUCUCUGAAGCUUGCAUACCUUUCCAGCAUUUUUCGGAUCGACAAAACCCUCGGGCUGUAUCAUAUACACGUCCUCAGCUAGGUUUCCAUUCAGGAAAGCUGUCUUGACAUCCAUCUGCCAUAUCUCAUAAUCGAAAUAUGCAGCUAUAGCUAGAAUAAUCCGAAUGGACUUAAGCAUCACUACGGGCGAGAAGGUCUCGUCGUAGUCAACUCCUUGAACUUGUCGAAAACCUUUUGCGACAAGUCGUGCUUUAUAGAUGUGAACAUUUCCAUCCAUGUCCUUUUUCUUCUUAUAGAUCCACUUGCACUCUAUGGCUUUAACACCAUCAGGCGGGUCAACCAAGUUCCAAACUUGAUUGUCUCCCAUGGACUCUAUUUCGGAUUGCAUGGCAUUCUGCCAUUUUUCGGAGUCUGGAUCCAUCAUUGCUUCUGCAUAUGUCGCAGGCUCAUCAUUGUCCAACAAUAAUAUUUCCCGCAUUUCGCGGAGCCUUGCCGACCUUCGUGGUUGUGGCGGUGCUUCUCUUGCCAUGGGUAUCUCAACUUGUUCUGCUACGUUAGCAUCACUCAUUGAUUCUUGCCCGAUCGGCUCAUCUUGAACUUCUUCAAGAUGCACUGUCUUUCCACUCUUUUCUCCUUUGAGAAACUCUUUCUCUAGGAAAACCCCGUUCCGAGCGACAAACACUUUGCCUUCUGAUCGGUUGUAGAAAUAAUAUCCCAAAGUUUCCUUUGGAUAUCCCAUGGAAAUGCACUUAUCCGACUUGGGUGUGAUCUUGUCCGACUGAAGUCGCUUGACAAACACUUCACAUCCCCAAAUCUUUAGAAAAGACAAACUAGGAACCUUUCCAGUCCAUAUCUCAUAUGGUGUCUUAACUACGGAUUUAGAUGGUACCCUAUUAAGUGUGAAAGCUGCUGUUUCUAGAGCGUAUCCCCAAAAUGACAACGGUAGGUCCGACUGGCUCAUCAUUGAUCGAACCAUGUCUAACAAAGUUCGAUUACAUCGCUCGGACACACCGUUUCUCUGAGGUGUUCCAGGCGGCGUAAGUUGUGGAAUAAUUCCGCAACUCUUUAGAUGAUUGCUAAACUCGUGGCUCAAAUACUCGCCUCCACGAUCAGAUCGUAAGGCCUUAAUUUUCUUGCCACGCUGAUUUUCAACUUCAUUAUGAAAUUCCUUGAACUUUUCAAAGGUUUCAGACUUGUGCCUCAUCAAGUAGACAUAGCCAUAUCUACUAAAAUCAUCAGUGAAAGUUAUGAAGUAUUGGAAUCCUCCUCUAGCCGUCAUGCUCAUUGGUCCACAUACAUCACUAUGUACGAGUUCCAACAAGUCUACUGCUCUCUCAGGAAAUCCUGUGAAAGGCGUCUUGGUCAUCUUGCCUAGCAAGCAAGCCUCACAUGUCUCGUAUGAUUCAAAAUCAAACGAAGUUAGAAGUCCAUCAGAAUGGAGCUUCUUCAUGCGCUUUUCACUUAUAUGACCCAAACGACAAUGCCACAAGUAGGUAGGACUCAAAUCAUUAGGCCAAGGCCUUUUAGCACUUACAUUACAGACAGGUGAACCAUCAAGAUUUAAAACAAAUAAUCCAUUCACAAUGGGUGCAAAAGCCAUAAACAUAUCAUUCUUAGAGAUCACACAACCAUUGUUUUCACUCGCAAAUGAAUAACCAUCCUUCAUCAAGCAUGAAGGAGACAAAAUGUUUCGACUUAAACUAGGAACAAAAUAACAAUUAUUCAACUCCAUAAUAAAUCCUGACGGGAGGUGGAGUUGCAUCGUCCCGACGGUCAACGCAGCAACUCUUGCAUUAUUGCCCACGUGGAAAUCAACUUCUCUUUCCACGCUUCUACUUCUUAUCAUUCCCUGCAUCGAAUUGCAAAUAUGAGCAACCGAUCCGGUAUCAAAUACCCAAGAAUUAAUAAUUGUAUCAGCGAGAAAAAUGUUGUUUAUAACAUUAACAACAAGCGUACCUGAGGUAGAAGUACUCUUACUUCCGCCAUUCUUCAAGGAAGCUAGGUACUGCUUGCAGUUUCUCUUCCAGUGACCAAGUUCAUGACAGUAAAAGCACUCUGUGUCUGGAGCAGGUCCAGGUCCAGCUUUAACCUUGGGCGGUGGGUUUGGCUUGGACGUUCCAGCAUUGCCCUUCUUCUUCCAAGAAUUGCCCUUCUUCUUAAAGCUAGGCUUGUUCUGUAUCGCCAUCACAUGGCUGGUACUAGCGCUUUUCUUGAUGUCAGCCUCUGCUGUUUUAAGCAUGCCACACAGCUCAUUCAGACCCUUCUCCGUCCCAUGCAUAUGGUAGUUCGAGAUGAAGUUCCCAUAGCUAGGCGGAAGAGACGAAAGAAUGAAAUCAGUGGCCAACUCUUGGCCCAGUGGGAAGCCCAGCUUCUCCAACCGUUGAGUGUAACCAACCAUCUUGAUUACGUGUGGUCCUACUGCUGCGCCUUCUGCUAGCUUGCUCUCAACAAAGGCCUUAGACACAUUGAACCUUUCAGUCCUGGCCUGUGUUUGGAACAUGUCUCUAAGCACCACGAUCAUAUCGUGCGCCUCAUGGUUUGUUUCGAACUGCAUCUGCAGCUCGGGUUCCAUGCAAGCAAGCAUAAGGCAGCUUACUUCGAGGUUAGCAUCACAUGCUUUCUUGUAAGCAUUCUUAGCAGCAGCGGGUGCAUCAUCAGCAGGUUCUUCUGGUAGUGGGUUGUCUAGAACAUCUUCCUUUUUCUCAGCCCUGAGAACAAUUCUCAGGUUACGGAUCCAAUCCGAGUAAUUUGUUCCAUUCAACUUGUCCUUCUCAAGGACCGAACGCAAAGCAAACGGUGUAGUGCUGCUAGGUGCCAUUUAAUCUACAACAAAGUAAUGCAAAAUACACUAAGACAAACAUAUCCAUGAUAGAGCAAAUCACAUUAAACUAUUUUAACAGAAUCUACUCCCACUAAAAUCAAUAUCCCUCUAUUGAAACUUAGUGAUUCAGGAUCCACAACUAACAAGUCCACUAGUGAGAUUUAGCAUCACCGCUAGCAAACAAGGUAGAUUGGUAAGCAACUUUUGCUAAUCAUAUCACAUAUGACUCCUGUUGUUGGGUGACAUCUCCAUGUCUCGGCGCCCAACCGUUAUGCCCCAAGGUCCUUAACCGUUAAGAUGACCUCGUUAAGCAAACCAACCCUUAUGCGUGUAAGUGUCCGACACAAACCCGUCUAGUCAAGGAAAACUAGUGGUACCCUAAUUUCAUAGACCCACCACUAAUUGUACAAGACAUGGGACGGUGCAAGUUUUAGUUGGGAGGGCAUACUAACUUAAACUUUGUGAGGGAUCGUUCUACUUCUAACAUCACAGCAUGCAGAAAGUAAACAUAAACAGAAUAGCAUUCACAGAGUUGUGACACAGUAUGGCCCGUUUUCAUAUGGUGAUCUCCAUCUCCAUAGAACCUGUUCACCAUGGUGAUCUCCAUCUCCAUGUUCCAUGUGCGCCAUCCUCCUGGUGAUGAGUCCUCCAAGAACUAGAGCAUGCUAUUGCGCCUAAUAGCUAGUAAAGAAUCUAGUGAUGAAGAUUACAUAGUUUAGUUGCUUGGAUCAUCACAGAUUGGUACGCAGACCAUUAAAUACAAUAAAGUGACAACACAUAUGGCUCCUGACGUGUUGCCGUACGCGCGACACGCAGGUCACGAAUGAGUUACACACAUGCAUCACAUACACAAGGGGGCCAUACUGAUCACAAGAUACAUACAUACAUCCUGCAAAACAGAGUUAGGCGCCCUAUCGUUCCAAACUUCGGAUGCCCGAAACUCCAUCUUCCAAGCCGAAUUUGGGAAAUCUAAUAUCGCCGAAAACGGCGAAGCGGUUGAAUUUCAUGUGUAACUUUUUCUGUAGAUCAAUUUUCAUAUAAAAUUCGCCCCGAUCCGAGAUCGUACCGAAAAGUUACGGCUGAUUUACCGAAGCAUACGCAUACGGCAAAAAUCCCGACCCCGGCAAUAGAUCUCCUCUACUAUUGCACAUCUAAUGCGCAUGGCGUAUGACCCUGGAUUUCGAUUCGACCAAUCAUAUUGAUCUUCGCUCACUGCAACUGGAUUUACGUGUAUCACUUAACUCCGAUGGCGGAAACCGACCGGUAGGAGUAUGUCGUUACACUACCAUUGCAGCAAGGGCACGAAACGAGGACAUAGAUCAAACGGAAAACUCGCAUAUCUCCAUAUGUACACAUCCCGAAUCCAAAAAUAAGCAGCUACGGCUCUGAUACCACUGUUGGGAUACAAGGUAGGCUACACUAGCGCGAAUCAAAAUUUCUACCGCGUAUAACCAGGAAGAACUGCCGUAUAAGGAUCACGGGAUUACCACUCGACGCACUACUGGUGCGGAAGAUGUAGAUAUGCGUCGAUGCAGUGAAGACGAUCAUGUAGUCGUACGUAAUCGAUCAACGUAGUCGUACGUAGUCGAUCACGUCACGUCCAGCAGCUCCUCAGCAGCUCGUCCACGUGCAGCAAGAUCGCCUCCGGUGCCGCGGCUCAUCGUCGGCUCGUCGUGGCUCGUCGGCGGCUCGUCGAUGGCUCGUCCAAGUGCUGCAGGCGCAACACCUCCAAGGUAUCCACACGUGCAGGGAGGAAGCGUCGCAAGCCGGACUGCUAGAUCCGCGAGUUGCAACAGGCGAGGGCGUGGGAGGCGCGGCAGGUGUGUUUCGCCAAAAGGUGUAAACCCUAGGGCGCCCCCACCCCUCUAUUUAUAGAGGUUCCUAAUGGGCCUCUGGGUCCGAGGCCCAUUAGUACUUCUAAACCUAAUCCAACUCGGAUCAGAUCCGAAUUAGGCUUCCAGCCCCUUAAGUGUGUGACCCUAUGGGUUCGGAUACGUAUAGACAUGGCCCGAGUACUCCUACUCGGCCCAAUAAUCGGUAGCGGCCUCUAGCAAGACGUGCCAACUCCUAUACGCACACGAAGAUUAUAUCAGACGAACCAUCACAAUAUAAUAUACAUGCUAUUCCCUUUGCCUCACGAUAUUUGGUCUAGCUUCAAGCCGACCGCUCUUUCUCGAUCCUGUGAUUCGGAAUCCCUUUGUAGGUUAACUCUUAACCGUACGUAGCAUGGCCAUGCAUUUUCGGAUCCGAUCACUCGAGGGGCCCAGAGAUAUCACUCUCAAUCAGAGAGGGGCAAAUCCCAUCUUGAUUGACCAUGUCUCAUAGCAUGCUUCUUGACAAACCCGAAAGCUACCUUUAUAACUACCCUGUUACGGCGUAGCGUUUGAUAGCCCCUAAGUAGGUCGAUCCACAUCUAGAAUACAUGCGACAAUCUCAGGUCUAAGGACAAAGCGUGUUUGUUGUUUAAAGAGAGAACUACUUCUCGUGUUGGGUCAGUCCUAGCACAUGUCUCCACAUGUGUCCACAUUAUUAGUUCAAUAUCUCCAUAUCCAUGACUUGUGAAACAUAGUCAUCAACUAAUACAUGUGCUAGUCUAAUAUUCAUGUGUGUCCUCACAUGAACUCCGACUAGGGACAACUUUAGAAUAACCAUACAAGUAAAGAGUUUCACAUACAAUUCACAUAAUUGCAAAUCAAUUCAAGUAGCCUUCAAUGGAUAUUCAAUGAACACAACAUACAAAUCAUGGAUACAAAUGGAAUAUCAUCAUCUCUAUGAUUCCCUCUAGGGCAUACCUCCAACAGAGAAAGGUGCUACAAGCGAGGUUGCAACAGAUGAGAAGACAGGGCGAGUGGUGGCACGGGCAAGCGCGAAACGGCGGCAUUGCCGGAGCACGUCACUGGUGGGGCGAGAAAAGGAGCUGUUGCUGCCGGAGUCGGGGUUGGCGAGGGAGGAAUCGUCGCAUAGCGAGUUCGUGGGCGGCGUGACUGUGGAGAGGCGGAAAAGCCGGAGGGCAUCGGGUCUUGCAGCCGGGGAUCCGGCGAGAUGAUGGGCGCGAGUUGCGAGGUGGUCUAACACAGCAGCGGCAAAGUUCUGCCACGACGGCGACGAGGCACCAUGGCGCGGUCGGCGAGGGCGCGAGUGAGACGAGGCGAUGCAGAAAGGGUUGCGGAGGGGCUUCCGCUGCGAUUGGGGAGGAGGGCGCGGGAAUCCAUCCUGUCGCGGCUGGCGACUGGGCGAAGCGGCGGGUGUCGGAGAGAUCAGGCCACGCGGCGGAGAGGCUCUGAAGCGGGCGCAUGCUGCUCAGGCGUGUCUGCCUCGGGAGAUUCGGGUAAGAGAUUUGCGGAUCCACCAGUCAGUCUCGGUUUCUCCUCUGCUCAAGAUGGAAAGGAACACUGCUGCUGAGACUUAGAAGGAACUGGUGGUUCUGGUUGGGUUUUCAGGGGUCGGGACCGGGAACUGGAGGUUGAGCGCUUAAGCUCAGGGGAGCUAAGUCAGCGGGAUUAGGGACUCGGAUAGGAUUAACUCGGUUGAUUUAACCGGGGUCGUUACAGCCUACCCCCCUUAAAAAGAAUCUCGUCCCGAGAUUCGGGUGUAAGGGUAACCAGUGGGGGUGUGCAGUCCUUACCUCCUUGGCUGGAAAGAAAACCUCAGAAAUGUUUGUUCAGAUACUCUUCUGUUUCCCAGGUUGCUUCUUCUUCUGUGUGGUUGUUCCAUAGUAUCUUGUACAUUUUGACUGUUUGCCGUCGGAUAUGUCUUUCCUUUCGGUCAAGGACCUUGGCUGGAUUCUCAGUGUAAGGUAGGUCGGACUCAAUUUCAAGUUGCUCCUGCUCCAAGACCUCAGUUGGGACUUGGACACAUUUUUUCAGUUGGGAGACAUGGAAAACAUCAUGAAUGGCCGAGAGCUUUUCUGGGAGUUGGAUCCAGUACGCAACGGGUCCACAAAUUUCCACAAUCUCAUAAGGGCCAAUGUAACGGGGAGCCAAUUUCCCUUUUACUCAAAACCGUUGCACUCCUUUGGUCGGGAAGACUCGAAGAUAUACGUGAUCACCAAUGUCAAACUGCAGGGGUCUCCUCCUCCUGUCGGAGUAACUCUUCUGUCAAGAUUGGGCUGCCUUGAGAUUUGCUUGAAUUAUCUUAACUUGCUCUUUGGCUUCUACUACUAGAUCAGGACCAUAGGUUUGUCUUUCUCCAGCUUGUGACCAAUUCAAAGGUGUCUGACACCUCCGACCAUAUAAGGCUUCAAACGGUGCCAUCUUCAAACUGGUCUGGUAGCUAUUGUUGUAGGAGAACUCUGCCAAUGGUAAGCACUUAUCGCAAUUCCUGUCAUAGUGGAUGACACAAGCUCGUAGCAUGUCUUCAAGGAUCUGAUUUAUUCUUUCGGUCUGACCAUCGGUUUGAGGGUGAUAAGUAGAGCUACGAAUGAGCUUGGUGCCAAGUGAUGCUUGUAGCUGUUCCCAAAAACGCGCUACAAACUGAACACCUCGAUCAGAUAUGAUCGUCCUAGGCACACCGUGCAGGGAAACAAUACGGUCAAGAUACAACUCUGCAUAUUUCUUGGCCGUGUAGGUGGUGUGGAUAGGAAGAAAGUGGGCAGACUUGGUAAGGCGGUCCACUAUAACCCAAAUGGAGUCAUGUCGCUGAGAUGUAGGAGGCAGUCCAACAAUGAAGUCCAUGCUGAUGUCUUCCCAUUUCCAAGAGGGAAUAGGUAGGGGUUGCAGGGUACCUGCUACCUUUAAAUGGCUGGCUUUGACACGUUGGCAGGUGUCACAUUCCAAGACAUAGCGUGCAAUUUUCAGCUUCAUUCCACUCCACCAAAAAGUCUGACGAAGAUCAUGACACAUUCUAUUGAUGCCAGGAUGGAUUGAGAACUUGGAGAGAUAGGCUUCAUCUAGGAGUUGCUUCUUAAGAGUAGGGUCGGAUGGGACAACAAGUUGGUUCUCAUAGUACACUCUCCCAUUCUCAUCCUGUCGGAAUUGCUUAUACCCUUCAUCCUUCCAUGAAAUCUUCCUUUUAAUUCGCUUUAUUUCCUCGUCCUCCAACUGUGUCGUCCCAAUUUGGUCCUCCAAAGCAGACUCACGGGAGAUGUGAGCGAGGAUUCCAUGGGAAACAAUUUCCAAAUUAAGUUUUCCCAUCUCAUGACACAGAGUCUCUGUGAAGUUGGUUGCCGACAAGCAAUUGCAAUGGGUCUUGCAGCUAAGAGCAUCUGCCACUACGUUGGCCUUGCCAGAGUGAUAAUGUACUUCCAAGUCAUAAUCCUUAAUCAGCUCUAACCAUCUUCUUUGUCGCAUGUUGAGGUCGGCUUGAGUGAAGAUGUAUUUGAGGCUCUUGUGGUCAGUGUAGACGUUGCAGUGGGUGCCCAUUAGAUAGUGUCUCCAUAUUUUUAGGGCGUGAAUCACUGCUGCUAACUCAAGAUCAUGGGUCGAAUAGUUCAGCUCAUGAGGUCGUAACGUCCGUGAGGCAUAGGCAAUGACUCGGUUGUCUUGCAUAAGAACACACCCAAGUCCAGUGCCAGAGGCAUCACAGUUUAUGUCAAACAGCCUAGAAGGGUCGGGUUGAGCUAAAACGGGGGCAGAAGUCAACAAGUGUUUCAAGGUGUUGAAGGCUUCUUCACAUUUCUUGCUCCACCCAAACUUGACUUCCUUCUUCAGAAGCUCAGUCAUCGGCUUAGCUAUCUUGGAGAAAUCCGGAAUGAAGCGCCGAUAGUAGCCUGCCAGUCCAAGAAAACUUCGGAUCUGGUGAACUGAAGUGGGUGGCUUCCAAUCCAUGACUUCCUGUACCUUACUGGGGUCAACGGCUAUGCCAUUCCGAGAGAUAGUGUGUCCCAAGAACUUGACAUUAUCUAACAAAAAUUCACACUUGGAGAACUUGGCAUAAAGAUGGUGAUCCCUCAACUGUUGAAGAACCACAUGAAGAUGAUCGGCAUGUUCUUCUUCGUUCUUCGAGUACACUAGGAUAUCAUCAAUGAACACCACCACGAACUUGUCCAACUCGGGCAUCAACACCAAAUUCAUGAGAUACAUGAAUUAAGCGGGUGCAUUGGUGAGUCCAAAAGACAUAACCAGGUACUCGUAGAGUCCAUAUCUUGUGGAGAAGGCAGUUUUGGGAAUGUCACAGGGUCUGAUCUUGAUUUGGUGAUAACCGGAACGAAGAUCAAUCUUGGAGAAUACUCUUGCCAGCUAACUGAUCAAACAGAUCAUCAAUGCGGGGAAGGGGAUACUUGUUCUUGAUAGUCACCGCAUUGAGGGGUCGGUAGUCCACACACAUGCGUAGACUCUCAUCUUUUCUUCUUCACAAACAGGGCUGGGCAACCCCAAGGUGAAGUGCUGGGUCGGAUAAAGCCUUUCUCCAACAACUCAUGUAGUUGGGUUUUUAACUCAGCCAACUUGCCGGGUGGCAUCCGAUAAGGUCUUUUGGAGAUAGGGGUGGUGCCGGGGAUCAACUCUAUGGGAAACUCCACAUCUCUAUCGGGCGGCAUGCCUGGCAAAAUAUCGGGAAACACGUCGGGGUACUCACAGACUGCAGGGAUGUCCUUCAGUCGGGUCUCAACUGCGGGAUACGCACAAGAAUUCACAUCUUCUCAGCGAGGCAAUUGGACAACAGAGGGGCCUUGGUAGGGUGAGUUGACAUGGAUGGCUCGGGCUGGGAUAUCUAGCACAACCUGGUGCCUAGUCAUCCAAUCCAUUCCUAGGAUGACAUCAAUCCCCUCUAGAUCGAGAAUAACAAGAUUCUCCUUAAAAAGGGUUCGGCCUAGCUGGAUAGGCACAUUGACACUCAUCCUAUCAGAUGUGAUUACUCCACCCGGGGUGGAUAUCCUAAAAGACCCUCUUGUUUGGCAUUCCUUUAACCCAUAUUUGUCACUAGCCUUUCUUCCAAUAAAACUAUGUGAGGCUCCUGAGUCAAACAAAAUCAAAGUUGAACGAUUGUGGAUAAGAAAGGUACCCGUCAUUAUCGGUGCACCUUCAGGAAGCUCUGCUGCAUUGGUGAAGUUCAGCCGACCUUGGCGAACUUGCAUCUUGGGCUUCUUCCCUUUAUUGAGCAUCGCAUUGCUCUGCCCUGGGCGCUGAUUCUGAUUCCUGGGGCAGUCCUUGGCAAAAUGCCCCACAUUGUCAUAGGUGAAGCAGCGGUUACCAUUUGCAGGGCGCGGUGGCGGUGGUAGGGUCGGCCGGCGGUGCCUGAGGUUGAGAUCCCGGGAAACGAAAUGCUGCUGUCGAUGGGGGUCGGGCAACCCAUCUUCCUUACUACUGGGGUCGGCUGGGCGCCUGUGGGGGAACCAUUCUGAAUCGCUGUGCAGGUGGGCUGGGCGUCGGCAUUGGAGCCUUCCUCUUCCUCUCGGCUGCCAGAGCCUUCAUGCAGUCCUCUUGUGACAUGGCCAAGUUGACCAACUCGUUGUACGUAUUCACCCUUAUCGGGUUUAAUCUCUCUCUGAGCUCCAGGCUUAGCCCUCUGCGGAACCUGUCCUGCUUCUUCUCAUCUGUGUCCGCAUGGUAUCCAGCAUACCGGCACAGAUCAUUGAAAGCCUGCGCAUAGUACAGGACAUCACGAUUUUCCUGGGUAAGGGCCAGGAACUCGUUGAGUUUACGCUCCAGGAGACCUUCAGGGAUAUGGUGGCCCCUGAACACCGUCUUAAACUCCUCCCAGCUGACGACGUGGUUGGCCGACUGCAUGGCGUGGUAGUGAUCCCACCAAAGGAAGACAGAACCACGCAGUUGCUGCGUGGCGAACCGAGCCUUGUUCUCCUCCAGGCAAUGGGCAGAGAGGAAGGAGAACUUGGAUUCGAUGGCACGAAUCCAGACGUCGGCGUCGAGCGGGUCUUGUGUCUUCUGGAACAAAGGGGGUUGCGUCCCCAAGAAAUCCUCAUAGCGAGCAACAUGAGGCUGCCACUGAGCCCUUCCCCCAUGGGGCUGCUGCUGUUGCCCCGGGGUCGCCGCCUUCCCUUCCGAUCUUGGUCUCCUAUCAGCAUGACCGCCGGAGGGGGAUGGUUGUUGUUGGGUCCUGUAGACGACCCGGCGGUCGGCCGCUGUAACCGAGCAUGUGGGACAUGUGUGGCGACCGAACGCUGUAGCCAUGCAAGAUGAUGAUGAUGAUGACCGGCCGCCAUAGUGGUGCACGUUGCGGAUGGCGGGCGACCUCUAUAGCCUUGCGUGCUGGCCGGGAGGCGCGCUCAACGUGCUCCUGCCGCCGGACCGAGCGGGAAACGGGGCGGCGCUCCUUCCUUUGUUAGUCAGUAUGGGUGAUGAGUGCCUAUGACCAAUGUCAAAGGGAAGGCAGGACGGUGCAGCUGUAGCCCCGUGCGGUCGUGGCUAUAGUGCGUCGUCUGAAAACUAUGGCGGGUCACAUCAAGGUGCGCGGGCACCUUUCUGCGCGUCAGAGCCGCGCUCUGGGUAGGCGCCCCAUGGGUCGCAUUUAUGGCGAGAUCAGUGGGGGCCCACGAGAUCCGCGCCCUCAUCCGUUGGUCCAUACCCGCCCUCGGGCAAGGCGAAGGCCUGUCUUGUGGGCCCGGAUGCGUCCGACCCCUAGCGUCUAGAGUCGGGCGAGGCAGAGCCUUACGGCGAAGGGUCGGGCGCGUCCGACGCCCUGCACCCGGGGUCGGGCGAGGCGGAGCCUUGCGGUGAGGGGUUGGGCACGUCCGACCCUAGGACCAUAGGUCGGGCGAGGCGAAGCGGAAUAUUUCCCGUUGAUGCCAGGUCGACGGAGGUCACUGUCGCCGCAGUUGGGCCCGGAGCCUUAUGAUCGUUGUUUAAGGAGUACAAGGAGGUCGUUAAUAUUCCCCCCAACACAACUCGAAGGAUAAUGUAGUGUAGCAGAAAGCUCCGUAUGGGGUGAUGAAUGUAGUCUUGAUUUGGUCUUCUUCCUUAAGAGCAAUUUGGUGGUACGCUGAAUAGUAAUUGAGGAAGCAGAGUAGGGCACAUCCAGUUGUCGAGUCGAUAACUUGAUCGAUCCUAUGGAGCCCGAAAUGAUCCUUUGGACAGUGCUUGUUGAGGUCCGUGUAGUCGGCACACAUCUUCCACUCGUUGUUGUUUUUCUUUCGCACCAGGACGGGAUUGGUAAGCCACUUUAGAUGAUAGACUUCUUUUAUAAAACCCGCCGCGAGUAGUUUGGCUAGCUCUUUUAUAUUGCUUCUCUUCUGUCUUGGGCAAAUCACCGUAGUCGUUGUCUUUUUAGUAUAGCUUUUGGAUCCACCUUCAGUGAGUGCUCGAUCAACUUUCUAGAUAACCCCGGCAUAUUUGAUGACUUUCAUUUUGAUAGGAGAUUUGUAUUCCUCCAUCACAAGUCGUCGUAAAUAUCUUUUAAACAUGUUGAAAUACGUUUGUAACGUGAAAAAUCUAGGAAAACGGAAUAGGACACCCUCACGCGGCUGAUAAGUGAUAUUGCCUAGAAUAUCAGGAUGCCAGAGAGAGGCUAAUUUCAAAUCCCAUUUCUUGUCAUUGUAUAUCAGAGGCACGCCAAGGAGCGAGCCUCCGGGCAUUGCGCGAGGGAAUGCAGCCAGAGGCUUCAGCUUCAUUGUAGGAGAGGGGAGGAGGUUAGGUACGUGCCAACCGCUGCUGGAUCGCCAAUAAUUCGCCAUUGCCGGUCCUACCGGCAACCACCAGGACCAAACCCAAUCCACAAUGACUGGGAUAACAUAAUGGCUGGAUAUUUCCAAUUAAAAUCUAUGCACCUCAGCAUGGCCCCACAAGGCAGGAAAAAGGUUCCUUGCUUAUCCAGCGGUACUACCUUUUUGUGUUUACAUGGUGCUAUCAGAUACUACUAUUAGUGCUAAUCCUGAUCUGAAAUGUGACUUAUCAUACGUGUUUCCUCGUAUGGUGGCUUGCUUAUUUCAGUUUAGCACGCAACCGUGGGUAGGUUCAUCGCAAAGUCGUGGCAUCCCAUAACUUUAUAUGGGCAUCUCGUCUACUCUGGUCCAGUUUGGAUCCCCUAUGAAUUAUGCUUGUGCAAUUUUACAUAGUAGUGUUGCACUGCUUACUUAGAAAAAAUAGAUAUUCAGGAGUUUUCAGUAAUUUUCAGUAGAACUCCAUCAAAUGCUCAUCUCGCACAGUCACUCAAUCUUUGCGAAUAGCAACCGCAAUAUUCAACGUCUCUCUUGCAAAGAAGCAGAAGAACUUUUCCACAAAAAUAUGUCCGGACUGCUCUCUUUUCUGCGGCGAAAAAAAAAUUGCAAACAAAAUUGUCAUACACACCGGUAGCUUCAGUAGUCACAGUCGCAAGUGGAGAAGCCUCACUGCAACAACCAAAGGAUCAAGCUCCGCACAUCCGCACAAUUGAGGAACGAGACGCAUCACAAGAUUUCAAAGAAGUGCAAACGAUUCUUUCUUUUACAAAAUUUUUCAUCGUCGUCGCCGUCGACACAGGGAGCUGACAGAAACCUUGCAUCCUAAAAUCUCAUCAAGGGAUCAGAGCAGGAUUAAUGCAUUUCGACAUGUACAAGGAUCAUCCGUUAGCUUCCAUGAUUGUGUCUAUGGAUACAUACAUGGUCAAUGAGAGCUUAGAGUGAGCCUUCCUUGGCCGAGAGCCGCUUCAAG
Molecule: long non-coding RNA, 57806 nt
Filed under: Setaria viridis
Lineage: Eukaryota; Viridiplantae; Streptophyta; Magnoliopsida; Poales; Poaceae
Description: long non-coding RNA (SVIR_LNC010410)
Source: RNAcentral